RNAcentral lists this long non-coding RNA (52268 nucleotides) under Daucus carota (carrot). RNAcentral describes it as "long non-coding RNA (DCAR_LNC000906)". The record is from RNAcentral. Lineage: Eukaryota; Viridiplantae; Streptophyta; Magnoliopsida; Apiales; Apiaceae.
AAACAAGAAAAACUCAGCUCAAAACAUAUGAAUUCUAACAACAAAACUUACCUAAGAAAAAAGCAAGCCAGAAAUGAGUAGAGUUUCCAUGAAAAUCCAGAAAGUCACACAAAACAACAAAUGUAAAAACACAUGUUGCAUGCAUAUUCACCAGGGACCCACUUGAAACAGGUGUCGAUCUCUUCUUCUGCAUGGCAACACAUUCGUAUAAACUUGUAUUUCUAUAUUUCUGUUUUAUCUUCAAGCAGCUCACUAUAUUUUCUAACUAAAUUUGUGGGUUUUUUAUGAACCGGGUUAAUUUAGUGAUGGCCGGGUUGAGGUUGAGUCUGGUGGUGAUGGUUUUGAUAGUGCCUUGGAGCUGUGCUUUUAGGGUGGGUCCUCGAGCCGGGUCAGUGAACCGGUUUGAAUCGAUGUUGAGGUCUCCUGUGGAGCUUGAUGAUGAGGAGGAGAUGAGGAAUGGGACCAAUUGGGCGGUUCUUGUUGCCGGUUCAAAUGGUUAUGGGAAUUAUAGGCAUCAGGUAUGUUUGUCAUUUCUGUUUCGAAAUCCUGGUUCCGCCUCGGUAUAAGCCGCCAAUUGUAAAUUUAGGACUUGCAAGUGAGUUGGGGAUUUUUGGUUAUUUAACUUUUAAGUGUUGUUUGGUGUAUUUACUUCCCCGAGAUUUUUAUUGAAUUUUGAGGUUGAGGAGGUAUACUUACAAUUGUUUAUGUUUCGAAAUUCUGGUUCCGUGUACUUACAGUUUUAAUUUAGGACUUGCAAGUGAUUUUGAGAUUUUUGAUUAUUUAAGUGUUGUUUGGUAUAUUUACUUUCCCCAUAUUUUUUAUUGAAUUUUGAGGUUGAGGAGGUACUUGUGCCGUUUUUCGAAAUUCUGGUUCCUUAGAAGUGUCUAUUCAGGAAUUGCAAAAGAGUUUGACAUGUAUCAUAAUUAAACUUGUAUAAGUGAUCUUUGGUGUAUUUACUUUUCGGAGAGUUUUAUUGCAUUUUGAGGAUGGGGAGAUAAUUAGGAUAUAAUUUAUUUGUUCUAUAUUUGUCAGUAUUAAUUAAUUGUGAUUAGUUGAAUUUAAUUCAAUUGAUAUGUUGCGGAUGAUGAAUACAGGCCGAUGUAUGUCAUGCAUAUCAAAUACUGAAAAGAGGUGGACUUAAAGAGGAGAACAUAAUUGUGUUUAUGUUCGAUGACAUUGCUAAUAGUGAAUUGAAUCCAAGGCGAGGUGUUAUUAUCAACAGUCCUCGAGGUGAGGAUGUGUAUGCUGGUGUUCCGAAGGUACUUAUUUCCGACAUAUUUUAUGCCGCAUAGCCCACACGGACACCAUUAUCCUUUCCAUGCCUCAUGGCUAUCAAAUUGCAUGAUCAACUGAUAGUGUUUUAUUGUUUCAUAGCAAAUUAGCAAUCAUUAUUCUGAUAUCUUUACGUAAGCAAUUUAUGGAAUUGGAAGUACAUUAUAGAAAUGUUGCACUAAGUAGAAUUGCACCAAUAUCUUUAUGCGGGCAACUUAUUAAAUUACUAGAGAUAUAAUCCACCUAUUGAGUGUUGCACGAAUUGGUGUCUGCAAAUGAUACAAUGAAAUAAUUUUACAGGAUUAUACAGGGGAUCAAGUGACAGCAGCUAACCUGUAUGCCGUUAUACUAGGGGACAAAAAUUCGGUCAAAGGUGGAAGCGGAAAGGUUGUAGAUAGUGGACCUAAUGAUAGAAUCUUCAUUUAUUACUCGGACCAUGGAGGGCCUGGAGUACUCGGUGAGUACUGUUUGGUUGUUGGUAAUCAAGAUUCUUACUAUUAGAUUUUAGUUUCUUGGAGUUGAAGUUGCUUACUGAAUUCCCGCUCUUUGUAGGGAUGCCGGAUAUGGUUUAUGUUUAUGCCAAUGAUUUCAUUAAUGUGUUGAAGAAGAAGCAUGCAGCUGGGACAUACAAAGAGAUGGUACAUUAAUUUUGUAGAACCAUUCCACCAAUUCUUGUAUAAAAAAUGACUGAUUAAAUUAAACAUUGUGCGGAAGGUAUAAAAUAAGAUACAUUUUUGUCUGUGUAGGUUCUUUAUGUAGAAGCAUGUGAAAGUGGAAGCAUCUUUGAAGGUUUAAUGCCAAACAAUUUGAGCAUCUAUGUCCAAACAGCCUCAGGUGUAGAUGAAAAUAGCUGGGGAACAUAUUGUCCUGGAAUGGAUCCGGCCCCACCCCCGGAGUUCAUGACUUGCUUAGGAGAUCUGUACAGUAUUUCUUGGAUGGAGGAUAGGUACCUCUAAUAUAUAACAUCUUAUAAUAUUGGUAAUGAAUAUUUUAAGAGUUGGUUUCAGAAAUUGGAGUCUGUUACACAAUUUCACGCACGUUCAAGACAUUUUAUAUUUCUGUUAUGCUUAAAAACCUGAUCUAAAAAAUAGAACUUCAGGCUGCUAAAUAGUAUGCCUUUGAUGGAUAAACGGAUAGAGAAGGAGGUGGUUGGAAGGAUGGAGAUGACUUGGCCCCAUGGAUGGGCGACUUGGUUGUAGGCCAUUAAGUAGGAAGGCUUGAUACUGGAUGGAUGACUUGGUUGAUCAUGUAUGGAUGAUGACUUGGUUAUAAGGAAGUUAGGAAGGCUUGGUCGAUGUCAAUUAUAAGUGUACUUGUUACUAAAAACACUUUUAUUAGUCUGUUCCCUUGCAACACCGGCACAUAUUGUUAAUACUUAAUCGGUUCAAAUAGAAAUUUUCCUAAUGAUCUAAAAUUAUACUUGGCUUGUUACUCUGUAACUCUUUCUUUGGGCUACUUAGUUACUGUUUAACGUUUAACUGCAGCGAGACACAUAAUUUGAAGAAAGAGACUAUAGAACAGCAGUACAAGAAGGUAAUUUGAAGCCACUUUUCAGUUUUGGUUUGUUUCCUACUUUCCUCAACCUGAUAUUAUAGUACUUCUUUAGGUGAAGGACCGGACAUCCAAUUCGAACACCUACACUGCUGGAUCUCAUGUGAUGGAGUAUGGGACCAAGGAAAUAAAGAAAGAAAAGGUGUACCUUUAUCAAGGUUUUGAUCCUGCCUCUAAAAAUUUUCCAGCUAACAGAGCUCAAGCCAAAGGGCAAAUGGGUACAAUUGAUCAAAGAGAUGCGGAUCUUCUUUUCUUGUGGCAAAUGGUAUGUGUUUUAGUUACUUUCAGUUUACCAGGCCCAACAUGUUUGACAAUUUAAAUGAUGAUGAAUGAUGACAAGCUACAGUCUUCCCAUUCAUUCUUCUUUAUUGAGUAGAUUUAGACUAUGCUUUUAACAAAAUUUUUCAAAAUUCAGUACAAACGAUCCCCGGAAAAUUCAAUAAAGAAGACCGAAGUUUUCAAGCAGAUUAGCGAAACUAUGGCACAGAGGGCACACUUGGCUGAUAGCAUCAACAUGAUAGGGAAGGUUUUGUUUGAUCCUGGGCAGUCAAACUCAAUUCUCAACUCCAGAAGAGCUCCAGGAUCACCGUUAGUGGAUGACUGGAAUUGCCUAAAAUCGAUGGUGAAUUCCAACUUCCCUUUCUAUUGUAAUUUCUUCAGUUUCUUUUUAUGCUUAUAUAUUGUGUAAAUUUACAAACUGUGCAGGUUCAAUUGUUUGAGGCACAUUGCGGGUCACUUACACAAUAUGGUAUGAAACACAUGCGAGCAUUUGCUAACAUUUGCAACGACCAAAUCUCUCUCUCUGCAAUGGAGGAUGCUUGUACAGCUGUCUGUGGCCGGGAAAGCAUAGCAUGGAUACCACGAAUUUCCAAAGAGGGUGGCUAUAGUUCAUAAGUUUCCUUUGUCAUGCAAAUGACUCUUGCAUAAUAUAUAUGCAGUAACAUAAAAUCUUAAUUUAUUAUGCGAAUGAGUUGUUUGUCGUUGCAGUUAACUGUUGUCUUGUUACUUGAAUCCCCAUCGAAAAAUGGCUGGCAGUAGUGCCUAAUGUUGCCUUAUGACUUGCAUAUAUGUAUGUCAGUAUAAAGGUUGAAUUUAUUAUCGUAACUUGUGAUGCAGAUAAAAUUGCUUGAUCGAUCAUUGCAACCAACUGCAUUGCAACAGACUACAUGGCCAACGUUAAUUGUGUUACUCUCCAAAAGAUCAAUUGGAAGGUAAUAAGUUUAUUGAGUAAAAAAUAAGUUGCAUGUGUUUCGCACGUUUAAGACUCACACUGAACAAGUGAGGUUGAAAACUCAAGAGGUUUGGUGUGCACAUAAGAUAUGUGACACAAGAGUGUUUAUGUUAAUACCUUAAAAGCUCAAAGUAACUGAGCAUAUUAACAGGCUUGUUCAUUAUAGAUGGCAUAAUCAUGGGUGGUUUUGCUUGCGAGAAAAAUGUUUUAUGUACAAUAUUUCACAAAAUGACAUAUAUGUUAAGUUUUAAUUACUCCCUCCGUCCCAAUUCUUUUGGCUUGUUUGACUUUUAAUGGUCAAAUUGACCAAAUUUUGACUGAAAUUUACAUGUAUUAAAUAAUUGGAAAAGAUUUUAAAAAAUAUAUUACUAAAAUCUACAUUUGCUCUACUUCAAGAUGUAUGUUUCGGAUUUUAAAAAUCAUGUAAGAAUAAUUAGUUAUUACCGGUCAAAGUUUGGUCAAUUUGACCACAAAAAGUCAAACAAGACAAAAGAAGUGGGACGGAGGGAGUAGAAUGGACCGUCUUUAUCACGUAAAUACCAUCAAUUAAAACAUCUCACCUCAGUUGUCAUUUCAUUUUAUGCAAAAUUUUGUACCUAAUUUUGUGUACGUGGCACUAUUUUCCGAAACCUCUUUAGGAUGUAUCGGAUGUACUCUAGGAUCGAUCUGCUCGAAUGGCAAUAACCAAAAUGGAAUUCUGUGUCAAAUAAAAUCCUUCUAAACAAAUUUUUCACAUCAUGGAUGGAUUUGACACUGCACCACCAUGAAUGUUAACAGACUCUUUUGCAGCAUAAUUGAUGCUAGUUGAGCUAAUGUUCCUCAAAGUCACACUCCUAAUCCACUCGUCAUCUCAGAGCCUAAUAGUACUCCCUCUCCCUCCGUCCCUCUGAUUUCUAUACACUUUCUUUUUCGGGAUGUCCCAUUCAAUUUUAUACAUUUCAAAACUUUCCCAAAAUAUUAAAUUUUUAUAAUAUAAAAUUCUCACCCACCCACUACUUCCAUCUACUUUUUCAAAUCUAUCAAUAAAAGGAUAGCCCAGUGGUGGGUUUAUCCUCUGUUGACCCGGGGCACCCGGGUUCGACUCUGGCUCACCCCGAGAAUUAUUAGAACAGAUACUAAGUUGUAAGGCAUAUAAGCCUGCAUUGUCAAAAAUAUGCAUAGGUCCCACCACUUUACCUACUUUUCUUUCUCUUUCUCAUUACUUUACCUACUUUAUACACUUUUCUUAGUCUCCGUGUCCAUUCCAAACGUAUACAUCCCAGAGAGACAGGGAGUAUUCCGUAUCCCCUUUAAAGUGAAAAGGGGGAAAAACUCGUCAUAAAAGUUCAUGAGGGUUCUCAUUUCUUAACUUGAAGUAAGCUGAUGUAUAAGGAUACAGUUGACGACGAAGUAUAUUUAGUGCUAACACAAGCUCACACCACAAAAUGCCCCUUUCUAUAGGAACCGUAAAAGUCAUUUCACAAGAAAAACAGAGUAAUUUCUUGCACCUGAAUUUCUGAUGCCUGAACCAUCCUACAAUGUUGGCUUGCACACUACUAGACACCAAUCUCCCAAAAACUGAAAUCUCGUUACUUUCUCAAAGUUUCAAAUAUUUGUAGGGUCAGACAUUAAAGCUAGAAGAAGUUCUAUAUUCAUACUGUUCAAAUUUUGUACUCCCUCCGUCCCAUUUAAUUCUAUACACUUUCUUUUUUUGAAUGUCCCACUCAAUUCUAUACAUUUCAAAACUUUCCCAAUUUUAGUAAUAUAAAAACCCCACCCACCCACUACUUUUCCAAAUCUAUCAAUUAUAUAUUGAUGGGUCCCACUACUUUACCCACUUUUCAUUCUCUUUCUUCCUACUUUCCAUUACUUUAUACACUUUUCUUAAUCUCCGUGCCCAAUCCAUAUGUAUACAAUUCCGAGGGACGGAGGGAGUAUUAAAUGAGGUUUCUGGAGUCGCACUAUGGAUACUACUUGGAGUUUACUUUGACAAAUUAUGAGAAAAAAUAAGGUCUUUAGAGUCACUCAGCUCAGAAUAUAGUUUGACAGAAAGGAGUUUUUAAUUUCCUUUGUUUUUUUGACAGAUCCUCUCUGUUCCAAAACAAAAACUCCUUAGUGCCUCCGGACUAUAUGAGGUCAGGACCUCCACGAAAAAUAUUGCCUCACUAUAUAUUAGACUUCAGAUAACUUUUGGUCAACUUUUAAAAAAACUUUAGUAGAAAAUCAAUGGUCUAUGCUUCUAAUGUUGUCGUGGACUGUUCACCUUAGCAGCUUAUUGUAUUGUUUGGGUAGUGAAUUUACAAGUCAAUUUUCGAUUUAUAAGUCAGAAUAUUAGAAGUCGAAAAUCCUAACCUUUUUUAGUGAUUUAUGUUUAUUUUUUGAAAUUUGAUUUUCCAAAUAUGUAAACGACCACUUUAAAAGAUGAUCUAUAAUUUUAUUAAUAAUUUUUGAACCUAAUAAGUUGUAAAUACUAAAAUUUAUCCAAAUACAUAGAAUAAAAGUUAUUUCUCACUUAUAAUUAAUCUCUCAUUUAUAAAUAAUAAACACUUCUUUCAAAUAACGGUUGUGUGUAUAAUCAAUUGUACAAGAUAUUUUUCAAAUUAUGUGUGUCUUACCUCAAACUUUACCUUAUUUUCUUAGAUUCACUAGUCUAACAAUUAUCUGGAAAGGUGAAUGAGCUAGAGGGAUAUCAGUGGAGCAACAAUCACACUCUAAAUACACAUGUUGUUAUGCCCAAAAUCGGCAUGAGCCUCGACAGACCCAUAUUCAGAUAUGGAUCACUAAAGUUGGCCAUCCACCUCUAUUAAUAAAGGUUAUUUGCUCUCCAGUUCAAAAGGAAGACUAGACCAAGUCCUUUGGGCUCAUCAUUCUGAUAAGUCACCUCAUUUGUGAGCCUCCACCACUUAAAAGAUAUAUGAAGACUUAAGGAGCACCCUGAGGGGUCAUCGUCCUGUGUCUGGGGAACAUCCUGAGGAGUCAUCACCCUGAGGAGUAGUCAUCCUGAGGAUUCGUCGCCCUGAGGGGUCGUCACCUCUAAGGAUUACUCCCCAUGGGUCCUUGCCCUAAGGUGUCGUCGCCCACAGGGCCGUUAAAGUAUAAAUGGGGAGUCUAGGGGUCGCUACCCUUUGGCCUCGUUCACCUUGGGGUCAUCAUGGUUCAAGACUGCUAGCCCAAAGGUGAUCACCCUGGAGCUCAUUCUCUAGUUAGGCUCUCAUGCCUCUUCAUCUCUCAUACAAGUUGGCCUCACUGGAAGGUCACCCACUUUAUUUUACUAAGUCCCUUGCUGGCUCUCACUAGGGCUGCACCUUCUAUUUCGGGUUCCCUCACCCCGUAAGAGGAUGACUGGGUUCCCUCACCCCACCAUAGGAUGUUUGGGCUCCCUCACCCCAUGCGGGGAUGAUCCAGACAUGAAGGCUCAUGACCGGUUCUGGCUUGGGCCCAUGAGUAUACAUAUCGAGGUCUCUACCUCCGCUUAUUAAAUUGAUAUCUAUUCUCCGACCUGCUACAUGAUAGCCCCUUGCCAUAUGGGUCUAGGCCAUGUGAGUACGGGCCUCUCUUGAUGGCGGCUUUCGCGGUCUUACACACCUGGGCCCUUGUGGACCGGACUGACACCUGGCCCGCGCUAGGAAGUUUGGCCUGACAGAACUACGUGGUAGCUUGAACCCCAGUAGAUAGGGUACGUAGGCCUCUUGUGGCUCAUGACCUCAUUCUUGCUAAGAACGCUUGAGAAAUUUUUCUCUCGUUUGCUCAAGGAUCAAACCACAAGAUCAGCUACAACAUCCAUCACUUUCCGUCCCGUGUUCUUCGUGAAAUUCUUCCUUCAAUCACGCAAGUGCCAACAUUUGUUGUUAAUCAUUUUCUCUCGUUAACAAUUUAGCGACAACAGUGAUAGAUCAAAGCAUCUUAAGGAGAAAGAUGAGCAAAAGGAAGAACAAGUCUGAGAGAGCAGGGAGUGCCUCUCCGGGAGGCCCCAAGGGGGAGAACAGCACAACCCCUCAUAUUGAGGAACAACCCUUGGCCAGGGAGAGGCUCCCCCAUCUGAUCUUGUUAUGAAGUAUCUAAAAUACCUCUCAAGAGAGGUGAAAACUAUGAGCUCUAAGAUGGCCUAGAUGUAGAGGCAAAGCAACAAGAGAAGAAAGGCUUCAAUAAAGGGGGCCGCUUCUCGAAAGGCAAGAGGGCCUCAAAGUGGACCCCUAAGAACUUGGAAGAUGAUUUUAACCGAGAGGCUAAGGGCGAGAAGAUGCUUGAAACGGACGAAGUGUCCCGAAGUCAAGUAAAGGGUGCCCAUUCUUAUAAUAGAAAGACAAUUAGAAUCAUGAGUUAUUGAUAAGUUAGAUAUAUGAUUACGACCAUGUUAAAUUUUUUGGGAGAUUAUCUUGUUUUUGUCUUAAUUUGCAUAUGUUAAAUAAUUAUUGGUUAUUGUAUCAUUGUUCAAUUUAGGAAGAAUUUUCGGGUUUGAAUCUUGUUGCCUAUUUAUUUAAGAGUGAUUGACACUUUGCACCCCUUAUGUUUAGGCGCUUUUUUGAUUUGGUCUUGAACAAUUUUUUUUUGACAUUAUGCACCUUAAAGUUUGAAAAGCGCUUCGCUUUGCACCUCUUUGACCACUCUCCGUUAAUUGACCGCUAAAGUUAACAGAUUUUAGGUUUUCACUUUGCACCUCAUAAUUUUAAUUUUUUUUCAUGAGUAUUUACCAAUUUGUUUUCCUUCUCCUUAGAUGACAUAGGAACUUUGACUUCAAUCUUUUUUUCUUUGGUUAAGUGAAUAGAAUAGGGUACUUUUUUUUUGGAUAGCAUAUGAUGCUGCUCUUUGAAACUGCAAACAAAUUUUAUCAGGUCUUUAAGAUGUUAAGAACCCAGUAACCCGCUAAAGAUGAAAAAAGCAGCCCAUUACAAAUGAGGAAAGUAUGAAAUUUAUUACCUGCCAACUAGUGGUUAUAGCCUCUAUGAAAUGGACAAUCAAAGAAACGCUCAGUAUAAGAUAAUACAACUGCAAUGAGCGUAGGAAAAAACUAGUUGGUUGAGCUGCUUAUCUAAGAAACUACGACUGUUAUGUCGUCAAGCUUUCCACCGUAGUAUCUGAAUCCUACUUCCUUGUCUGCUGUAGAGAAUGGGGUUUGCUUAUGUCUGUCUAGAGCUCUCUGUUGUGCGAAAGCAGCUAAUUUCUGAGAUAAAGCAUCAGGAUCUAGACCUCCUCACAUUCCUUCAGCAACAACAAGUACUACCUCGUUGCUGAAUAGAUUGUCAAAUAAUCCAUCUGUCCCAACAACAAUCACAUCUCCAGGUACCACGGGAAUCAUAAACACCUGCCCGGAACUUGGUUGAUCACUUCUGCUACUACACUCCAGCUGAUACGUGAAGUUAAAACCAUGCUGCUGCACAGGGGACUCAAAGACAGUGCAGCCAUCUCUUAGUACAAUGAAUCCACUGUCACCAAGAUUAAUAGCAUGUACUCCCUCCGUCCCCCUCAAUUGUUUACAUUGGAGGGGGACACGGAGACCAAGACAAUGUAUAAAAAAUAAGUAAAGUUAGAUGAAAAGUGGGUAAAGUGGUGGGACCUAUCAAUAUUUAAUAAUAGAUUUGAGAUAGUGGAGAAAAAUAGUGGGUGUAAUAGUAGUUUUUAUUGUUAAAUAUGAGAUAGUAGGGGAAGAUAGUGGGUGUAAUGAUGAGAAGAACUUACUAUUUAUAGUAACGUAAAGAAAUGAGAGGGACAUCCCAAAAUAGUAACCGUAAAGAAAUGAGAGGGACAGAGGGAGUAUACCCUUUUUUCUUUAAGACAUACGAUGCAGGCUGUUGAGGAUCCCUUAACUUUUGUAGCAGAAUGGGCUCUAGUCUAGUUAACACCCUGAAAGGAUCAAUCCCAUCCUUAGGCUCGUUCAAGAUUGCUCCCACUGAAUUAGACAUGAGUUCACGGGCAUAUAGUCCAGCAUUAACUCCAAUACCCGCCCAGCCACCAACACCAUCAGUAACACCAAUCACUUUCUCAUUUACACAAACGAAGUGAGCAUCGUCCCCACCCGUCUCUUUAAUGUAAUUAUACAUUAUACAUCUACCUAAUUUGUCUAUUCAAUCGUAAUUGAGGGGAACACGAUCGACGAUAUAUUUCUACAUUUCCAUAAUCUAUUUUAUAAACUAAAUUUCCUGUUGUAUAUUAGUUGUUGGCAACCCUUCAACUCUCAUAGACUCUUUAUAUAUAAACUCAAGCAACUUUGAUCUCACCUUUGUAGAAGCCUCACAUGAAUCUCUCUGAUUCAUCCGCUACUUUUCCUCAAUUUUAAUUCUCAUUUAAAUAUAAACAAAAAACAUUAUAUGAAUGGACACUCUUAAAAAUGUACUAACUUGUUAAGAAUCACAUUAUUCACAUCAUAUUUACUAGCCGACUAUGAUAUUCUUAGAGAUGCUCAUUCCCGAAGUCUAUAUUAUUUAUAUUAUAUUUAGUACUGAUUCUGUUCCAUUUUUUUUUUUUUUUUGACUAAUAUGGCUUAUAGCCUUACAAUUUGAGUAUCCGUUCUAAGAUAAUCUCGAGGUGAGCCAGAGUCGAACCCAGGACCUGGGCCAACAGAGGAUAAACCCUUAACCACUUGGGCUAUCCAAUCGUGCUCGAUUCUGUUCCAUUUUAAUUGCUUCUUAAGAUGUUAAAUAAAAUCACAUGUAAACAUAAUUAUUUUUUAUAAUAUUUAUAUCAAAAUAAAAUUUUAGAAUCGAAAAUUUUAUUUGAUAUAAGAAUUGAAUUUUCUAUUAUGUGUAAAUAUUACUUUUUACACCUUAAUAUAUGUGUUAAAAAAAUCAAAUAUUAGUUAAAAUGGGACAGAAUAAAAGCCAGUUACUAGAGACGCUUUUAGAAUUCAAAUUUUAACCAUGAUCACAGUUACCUAUUCAUGAACAUCCUUUAUCUUUUGCAGGUGGUGAGCUCAUAUAAGCUUGGAACCCAAGCUUCUCAAAUUUCAGAGUAGGGUAGUUGGAAUAUCAGGUCACAAAAAAUCGCCCAAACCGCAUAAACCGUCCGCAGUGCACCACACCGCACCGCAAAAUACGAUUUUUAAUUUUCGUGGUGUGGUUGCGGUUUGAAUUUUUCACAAACCGCGCAGUGUGGUUCGGGUUACGAUUUGACAUUUUGCUAGUGCGGUUCAAACCGCACCGCACCGCAAUAUAAUAACAUAUAUAAUAUGGGUCAUGUUCAACAGAGAACUAUUAGAGAGAGAACCAUAGAACCCUUACCUUAUUUCUGAGGGUUCUGCAGCAGAACUUAAGUAUUAGUUAGGGUUCUGCGGUAGAACUUGACAUGCAAAAAAAUGUUAAUAUCUAUGUAUUAUAUUUUAAAAUUAUUUUUGAACACAUACAACGAUGAAAAAUCAUGAAAAAAAACAUGUAUUUAGAUUUAGAUCCUAAAACUCGAUUUAAAAUUUAGGGUUCUGCAGCAGGACCUUAGUGGUUCUACAGUUCUAUUUUAAGAACUAGUUCUCUUGAGCGCGACCCUAUAUAAAUAUAUUAGUAUUAGUAAUUAUUAGAUAAAAUUAUAUUAUAUACAUGUAUAAUAUUUUUUGAAAUCAUAUACGUGUAUAAUAUUUAUAAUGUAUAGUUAAAGUUUUUCAAGAAGCAAGUUUUACAGAGUCCCCACUUUGUUGAAGUUAUUGGAGCAUAUUUAUAUUUUUAUAAAUAAAAUAUCUUGUAAAUAGUUAUUGGACUUCAUAGAACUUGAUUCUAUUAUUAUAUGUCUCUUACUACUCACUAGCUAUUAUUUUAUGUACAUUUUUGCUUAUAUUUUUUAGUAUUUGUUGUAACUCUGAAAUGAUAAAUAUUGUAUAGAUUUAUUGCAAUUUUUUUUAUUACCAUAUAUUUAACUUUUUUUAUAAUUUCAACUAAAAAGAUUAAUUCUUAAAUGUGCAAACCGCAUAAACCACACCGCACCGCAUUUUUCGUGGUGUGGUUUACGCGGUUUUACUCUGAGCGUGAUGCGGUUGCGGUUUGCAUUUUCAACCAAACCGCAUAUGCGGUUUGGAUUGCGGUUUUAGAGAAAAACCGCACCGCUGGCGCCGCGAUCACCCUGGAAAAUUAAACAAAAAGUGAAAUGAAGCAGAUACAAGGCAAAACAAAUAUGAUAUUACUUCUUUAUUUCAUAGUUUUCGGUAACUAUUUUUUUUCAAAGCUUGAAGUCAACUUCUACAGAGCAUGACAUUACUUCCAGUACCAUAUGUAAACUCCUGCUUAACUGACCAAAGAGGUAAUCAAAACAAAUGAGCAAAUAGAUAUAAUAAUUAUUUAUUUGUACUACCGUCAAAAAUUCAGUCCUAAUUCACAAGUAACUAAUUGUUUCAUUAUCCUGGAGCCAAUGUUUAGAGUUGGAACCAUUUAGAGUUGAAAAAAAACCAUACUGCGAUUUAGAGUUGAAAAAAUAACAUACUGCGAUGUCACUUUAUAUAGUGAGAAGGUUAGAAUUAAGCUGCACAGUGGUAGCAAUGGGUAUGGUUUUGACUGGUAAUUUCUCAGAUCAUAAAUAUCAGAGUUCACUCAUCAAGGGGACACAACCAACGGUUGAAUGUGUUUAUGGUAAGAUUAGACUCGGAAUUUUAACGAACACUAAAGAUUAUACUACUAUAUACCUACGACAUAGAUUUAUAACUAGAUUUUGACAAGAACACAAAUGUUUGUCCUCUAUACACAAAGUCGAUAUCCUCUCAAGUCUCCCCAUGCUAGGCUCAUAGGUUUCUUUGGCAUAUGAUUUGGUCUGAGAUUUUUAACUUACAUUUGUACUUACAAACUCUUUAUUGAAAUAUUCUCUCUAGUGUAUUUUGACAUGAUAUCAAUCACAGACUUAACGGAAUCAUUCUUAACCAAGACUUAGCAAUCAGACUUAUUCACUACACUUUCAAGUUUCAUAUGCUGAUCGUAGUUGUAAAUUAAGUACACAAACACAAACCACAAAUAUUUUAAACACACGGCAAUCCUAUCUAGUUAUAAGCUUGUAAUCCUUUGUUCAAUAACACAAAUUCAAUAACAAAACACCCACAAAUACUUUAAACCAAACACCUAUAUUAAUUACGUGCACAAAACACCCACAAAUCCAUGCAUGCACAAACACACAAACAUACAAAACAACUAAAACACAAACACAAACAGAGCAAGCACAUGACAGAUUAGGCCAGAUACAAAAACAGACCAAAAAAAAUCAUAUAAACAGAUCAUAAAACUAAAACAACUAAACUUCAGCCAGAUUAAAGCAAAUAUAAACAUAUGGGAACCAGAUUAAAGCAAAUUACAACAAAUCAGAGCAAAAAAAAAUCAAAACCCUAAAAUAAGCAUAGUGUACGGAGAGCAUAAACUAUACAUAUAGAGCAUAAACUAUAACACGCGUAUAAAGUAUAAAUCCUAUGAUAAACCCUAAAAUAAGCAUAUCGUAGUGUAUAGGGAGAGAGAUAUACACAUAGAGAGAGGCGCGGGGAGAGAGCUUACAGAGAGAGAGGGUUACAAAGAGAGAGCUUACAGGGAGAAAGAGCGUAGAAAGAUGCGAGAGAGAGAGAAUUGAGAGAGACGAGACCAGAGAGAGGAGAGAGCUGCGAGAGAGAGAGAGAGUUGAGGGAGAUAACUGAUCGAGACGUUAAGAGGGUUUUAAUCGAAAUAAAAGAGAACGACGCCGUAUACACACAAAACGCCGUCGUUUAAGCUGGGCGGGGAACCGAACCCGCGACUCCUGAGUACCAAGUAUAGUGCUCAAACAUCAGACCAGCCACAAUUUUAAGUAUUAACUAAAGGGACUUAUAUAUAUAUCUACCUUUAUUUUACAAAAUAAAAUAAAUAAAAAAUCAAUUUAUAAUAUUCCUUCAACUAAUGUUCAAAUUGAUUGAUUUUAAGGACCAAUAUAAGUUAAGUAAUUAUAUUCAUAUCUGUACGGUUGGAUCAUUUGAAUUGUUUAUUUAUUUAUUUUUAAAAAUAACCCUACGUUCAUAUUUAAGUAUAACCUAAUAUUUUCGCUAAAUAUCUCAACAAAUAAAAUCCUAUUGACUUGAUUUUUGGUAUAUAACUACGAUGAGUACUUAAUUUAUGAUCCGUACGGUUGGAUCGCGUAAAAACUAAAUUUAUUUUUUUGUAAAAAUAUAAUUACCCUACGUCUAUAUUUAAGAAUACCAUAAUAUGUUCGUUAUAAUAUCUCAACAAAUAAAAUACUAUUGACUUGAUUUUUGGUAUAUAACUACGAUGAGUACUUAAUUUACGAUCCGUACGGUUGGAUCGCCUAAAAAACAAAUUUAUUUUUUUAUAAAAAAAUAACCCUACGUCUAUAGUUAAUAAUAACAUAAUAUUUUCGUUAUAAUGUCUCAAUAAAUAAAAUCCUAUUGACUUGAUUUUCGGUAUAUAACUACAAUGAGUACUUAAUUUACGAUCUAUUCAUAUAGUAAAACAUUUAAUUUUGAAUAAUUUAGAAUAAUAACGUAAUUAAAAAUAACACAUCUGAUAUACAAGUAGUCUUACGUGAUCCACAUAUAAUAGAAUGUUUUUUAAAUAGUUCAAUUUUUUUUUGCCAGUAAUUUGUUUAAAAUAUUUAAACAUCUUAGUCAAGUUUAUACAUAACAUAUGUGACUUCGGAAAGUAAAAAUUAUGUUAAUUCUGUUUUUUUUAAAAUUAUUAGUUUUAUAUUAUAUUAAUAUAUUUUUAUAGUAUAAAAAAGGUUAUAAAAAUGUAUUUUGGUUAAUCAAAACCAUCUGAUUCUUUGUCUCCGCGUUGAUGAGAUUAUUUUCUUUAUAUUCUUUCAAUUGGAUCGUUCAAAUAAUAUAUCAUUUCAUCAUGAAUAAUUUGGAAUGAAUAACGUAAUUCAAAAUAACACAUAUGAUAUAAAAGUAGUCUUCUGUUUACGUAAUCCGCAUAUAAUACGAUUUUUUUUUAAAAUUAUUUUAAAAAUACUUACAUAUUAGUCAAGUUUAUACAUUAAAUAUGUGACUUCGGGAAGAAAAAAAUUACAUGAAUUGUAUUUUUAAAAAAAAUAUAUUUUAUUAGUUUAAUAUUAUAUUUAUGUAUUUUUCAUAGUAUAAAAUGGUUAUAAAGCUAUAUUUUAAUUAAUAAAAAUUAUCUGAUAUUUUAUCUCCACGUUGAUGAGAUUAUUUUAUUAACAUCCGUACGGUUGGAUCGUCCAAAUAAUAUAACAUUUAAUUUUGAAUAAUUUCAAAGGAAAUAAUUGAAUGUUAUUUAUAAUUAAACCGACCAACAGAUGCAUCGAAUGGUAAUCACGGUCGGUUAUGAGUUCCAUAGGUCGGUUUUCUGCGUUGUGGAAUGGUAAGUGUCGUCCGUUAUGAGGUCUGGCGGUCGGUUUUCUACGUUGUAGAAUGGUAAGCACGGCCUGUCGGUCGGUUUUCUAGAAGAUGAAUUGUAUUAUUGGUCGGUUUUGACCUUCGUGGUCGGUUUUUUGGUUUUUUUCCAAAAAAAAAAGAAAGAAGAAAGGCAUGUGCUGCUUCUAUUUGUUUCCAUUACCUGGGACUAACAACCAACCAACAAACCAACUUCUAAGAGCUAAAAGCCAACCAAGAAAUUACAUAAAUUCAACAGGAUCAUAAAAUUUCAAGUACUUAAAUUCAAUAGCAUCAUAAAAUUUUCAAUUACAAAACUCUUUUCUUAUUCUAACUCAUUUUGUGUCGAAAAAGGUUUCAAGUUUAACGUGCUAUAUAUGUUGUGUUAGUGGAGCUCUUUCUUUGGUUGGAAUAUGUUGUUGCAUUUAGAUAAUAUUGGAUUCACAUGACAAUAACAAUAUACUGUGUGAUCUUAAUAUCACAUUUUUUAUUAAUUUACUGUAUUUUAUUUUUAUAAUGUUAAAUAGAAUUUAUCUUAAAUAUAUAUAAAAUAAAUUUCUCAAUCGCGCGGAGCGCAUUUUCCUCCCUAGUUCCAUGUAUAAAUGAAUUUAUUUCUAAAUGAGUGGUCAUAAAUAAGUGACAGGUGCAUUUAAAAUUGAUACUUAUUGUGUAAAUACAUUAAUUAUUGAUACUUAAUAUUUUAAAUAUAAUAAAUGAAUCAUCUAUCGAUAAUUUUUCUCCUCGUCGCUGUUUAAUAUGUAGAAUUUUAUAAGUUUUAAGGCAAUAGUAAUAUAUGAUUAAAAUGACUAAAUUUUUACGAAUAAUAAUUAAUUGAUACUUAUGUAAUGACAUGUAAAUUUUGUCAUCACAUUUAAUAAUAAUAUUUUGGGUUUUUUUCAAAAAUACCCAUUUUCUAAUUUUUUUAAAAAUAUAUUGUGCAAUCAUGUAUGCAACUUCGUUUACAACUCUUGCAACCUCAAAAGCAACCACUUUCAACUUGUAACCUAGUAUACUGCAUUGAUCCUAUUUUUGAAAAUAAGUUUAAAAAUAUGGGUAGUUUUGCAUAUUUCCCUAAUAUAUUUCUUUUACAUAAAAACAUUCAAUAAAUUUAAUAAAUACAAAACUAUUGCAAUAAAUUUAAAACAUGCUAAAAAAAUUAAUAUCCAUAAGAAAAAAAAAAGAAUUUGAAAAUAAACAAUAAUGGGGCAACAAACCAGAAAUAAAGUAAACAACCAGGGGUGUAAAAUGAUUCGGGUGAUCCGGGUACCCCUCUCCUCAAGUACGCGAUCAUAUUAUUUUUAACUUGUCCAAAUUUUGGUCUGGGAUGGUUUUAUUCGGGUAUAAACCGAUCCCAGGUAUUUUAGAUUCGAAUCUGAACCAGAUAUUAUCUAAUAUCGUAUUUUCUCUUUUUUAACUAGGUAGUUUAUGAUCCAUCGAAGUUGGAUAUUAUCCACUAACAUUAAAUAUCAUUAUUAUUUCAGUUGUUCAAAUAAUUAUCAUUUAGUCUAAGUAAACAUAGUAUUAUAAAGUAUAAUAAUUUUAAAUUAAAACUUAUAGUUAUAUGUUGGUAUAUAUCAUUUUAUUAAAUAUAUAUGAAGAUAAUAAGUAUGAUCACAUUAAAUAAAUCAUAUUUUAUGAAGAUACAAACUUAAAUAAGAUAUUAAAAUUUUAAAAAAUAAUGACUAUUUACUUGCAAAUAUGAUGGUGUUAAAAUAUAAUAAGUAUAUGAGUUUGAAUCGAAUAUGAACCUGGAUCAUAUUCAGUUAUUCGGGUAGGAUCAUAUUAUGAAAAAAUAUAUGAGACCGAAUGUGAGCAGGUAUAGAUGUCUUGUAUCGAGGAUCAUAUAUUAUACAGACUUAAUUUUUCCGCCAGAUUUGAAUUGUUUUCAAAACGGAUAUGAGACAUGUAUAUAUUUUCGAGGAGAAUAUGAGCAGAGACACCGGAUAGUCCGUAUCAAUUUACACCCCUAAGCAACCCUGACUUUACAUGUUCAUGUUUGUAAGGAAACGUUCGGUUUGAAACAGAACGAGGUAGAUGCUAUAAAGAAACGGUAAGCACUACAAAAGCAAUCAGUGGUAUAAAAUUUUCCCACAUAAUAUAAUCUAUUUAUAUUUCUAUCUAUGGACUAUACUACUUUUAGUGGUAUAAAAUUUGUCUACAAAACAUAGUAGGGUAAAUUUUUGUAUGCCAUGUUUUUUAUAAUUUCAACUAAAAAGAUUAAUUCUUAAAUGUGCAAACCGCAUAAAUCACACCGCACCGCAUUUUUCGUGGUGUGGUUUACGUGGUUUUACUCUGAGCGUGAUGCGGUUGCGGUUUGCAUUUUCAACCAAACCGCAUAUGCGGUUUGGUUCGCGGUUUUAGAGAAAAACCGCACCGCUGGCACCGCGAGCACCCUGGAAAAUUAAACAAAAAGUGAAAUGAAGCAGAUACAAGGCAAAACAAAUAUGAUAUUACUUCUUUAUUUCAUAAUCUUCGGUAACUAUUUUUUUUCAAAGCUUGAAGUCAACUUCUACAGAGCAUGACAUUACUUCUAGUGACAUUACUUCUAGUACCAUAUGUAAACUCCUGCUUAACUGACCAAAGAGGUAAUCAAAACAAAUGAGCAAAUAGAUAUAAUAAUUAUUUAUUUGUACUACCAUCAAAAAUUCAGUCCUAAUUCACAAGUAACUAAUUGUUUCAUUAUCCUGGAGCCAAUGUUUAGAGUUGGAACCAUUUAGAGUUGAAAAAAUAACAUACUGCGAUUUAGAGUUGAAAAAAUAACAUACUGCGAUGUCACUUUAUAUAGUGAGAAGGUUAGAAUUAAGAUGCACAGUGGUAGCAAUGGGUAUGGUUUUGAAUUAAGAUGCACAGUGGUAGCAAUGGGUAUGGUUUUGACUGAUAAUUUCUCAGAUCAUAAAUAUCAGAGUUCACUCAUCAAGGGAACACAACCAACGGUUGAAUGUGUUUAUGGUAAGAUUAGACUCCGAAUUUUAACGAACACUAAAGAUUAUACUACUAUAUACCUACGACAUAGAUUUAUAACUAGAUUUUGACAAGAACACAAAUGUUUGUCCUCUAUACACAAAGUCGAUAUCCUCUCAAGUCUCCCCAUGCUAGGCUCAUAGGUUUCUUUGGCAUAUGAUUUUAUAUGUAUAAUUCAAUAAUUCUUAAGAUUGUUAGAAAUUUGGAUUGAUCUCCAAAUUUUUCAAGAUUUUAGUAAAAUCUAAGUUACAUUUUAAUAUAUUUUUUAAAAAAAUUUAUUGUUAAAAUACCCAAAAUUAUAAUUUUUCUUUUCACGGUACAACCAUAUAUAUAAUGUCAAUUGCGACUGUUUCAACCAGCAUUACAAUCACAUAUAUAAUUUUGAUGGUGUUUUUGAAAAUACAGAUAUUUUUAUAUAUUUUCCUUAAAAAAUUAGCAUAAACUAUCUAUAGCGUAGAAGUAUAAUAUUAUUUAAACUAAAGAUUAUUUACGAAAAAAAUCUAAUGUAGUCAUGCAAUUAUAGCUUACAAAUUUUCAAAUAUUUGUACAAAAGGUCUUACAAUUAUUCCUAAGUAACUUGUGGAUAAUAACAAUAAUAAUACUGAUAAAAGUAUAACACUAAUAACAAAAAAGGUAAAAAUAUGAUACACAUAAAAAUUAAAAUGAAAAAUAUCUACAUAAUUAUGUAAAAUAUAUUAUAAUAUAUAUGAUAAAAUAAUAUAAUAUAUAAUUAAUUCAUAUGUUAGCUUUCACAUGUGAAAAUCUAGUAAUAGAUUACUUGAUUCCAUCAUUUUUUUUUGCUGAGUUGUGGUAAAAUCUGCAUAAUGUUACAAACAAUUUAUAAAAAAAAAAAAAGAAAUUUAGUAACCAAAUGAGUGCAUCAAACAUAGAAAUUUUAGCCUCUAUCUUCAGGUUUUGGGAGGAAAAAGCAUUCAUUAAAAUAAAAAAUAAUAGACAAACUUUGCAGCAAAUUUGGGAGGCUAAUUCUCUUGUCAAAUUUCAUAAUAGAAGUCAACAAGGCUUGUCCACAAUAGAAGAAUAGAUUUUCUAGCAUUAUAAUUUAGUGGUGCUUCAUCUUUCUUACCAAUAUAUAUAUUUUUAUCCAAUAAUAGAUAAACAUGAGAUCUGCUUUCUAGAUUUUAUAACAGUGCUUGUGGUUAUUGGUGGAAGUGACAGUUUUGGCACAAAUUAAUCAGGGAAAAUAUAUUACAAAAUUCCUAACUCGUCAUGCAAUUGAUUCUCAGUAAUGGUGUCGUUGGAGACCUGAUUGGUUACAGAAAGGUUGUGACAAGAUAUUAAAAUCACCCCCUAGCUCUCUGCGCCCACCCCUCGCGAAAUCGCCCACCACGCAUAAUCUGGAAUUUAGGAAGUCUCAUAUUGGUGCUCAAAAGUCCAAAGAAACGGAGGAAUGUGGAGAUAACAAGAUUCUUGGAGGGUUGGUGGAAUUAGUGGUGGUUGAUGACGGUGUACGAUGGAGUAUCGAUGGUGGUUUUGGGUUUGGCUGAAAUCGUUUGGAUAAUUAGGGUUUUAUCAAAAGAUUGAAGGAGUAUUCGCUCUUGAUAGGAUUGUGUUUUAUCCCAAACAAUGUGCUUAUGUACCGACGAAGCCAAAUGUAGUUAUUGGGGAACAAGUAACCUAAUCUGAAUACGUGUCUCAUUCCUUGACUCCAUCGAUGGGACACCACUUUAGAUUAGGCAGGUAUGAGCUUGUGAAGUACAGCAUCCUUCCGAGGAGCAUGAUACUAGAUGGGUGACCCGACCCAGACUAUGUGGACCUCCUCUGAGUUAACUAUACGGGCUAGCCCUCUGUCUUCUCCGAGGGCGAGGUUGAAGGUGAGCCUGAUGAACCUAACAAAAUAAUAAUAACAGGGCUUUUGAGCCUAAUUGACUGUCUUGAUAUCAGGCGAUAAUUAGACUUUUAGGCGAGGAGCAAUGACUUCGGGCGAGGUCCUUCUAUAGCUUUCUUUCACUAGCAGCGUAAUUGACUAGUUACAGGUGUCAGUAGUCCGAUGAAAAUCUACCAGGGGCGAAGUCAUCAUUAAAGAAUAGAGUUAUCAGUUAUCAUGCAAUUAUAGCAUCCGAGUUGAUAUUUGCCCAUAACAGCUACAACAAUAGAGAUAGAUACACUUCAUCCCGAUACAAUGAAGGAUGAAAUCGAAUUUCUCUUUCAUGGUUACCAAUAUGAAUUUAUGAGUACGGCAUAUAAUAAAAAGUAUUGGUGAGCUUUUGCGAGGGCAAAAAGUCAAGUGUCAGUUUCUAUAGUUCUUGCUUUAGCUGGAGUCGUUUUGUAACAUAUGACUGAAUUGCCACAAAAGUAAACAAGUCUAAAGAAUUAAAAUCCUAAUUAUCGAAUUCCUAUGAAAUCAAAUCUCAUUUUUGAAUAGCUUAAGGGGAGGCUUAGUAUAUAGCAGAUAGAACAUAAAAUAUUUAGCCUCUUCAGGUUUUCGGAAGAAAAGGCAUUCAUUAAAAUAAAAAAUAAACAAACGUUGCAGCUAAUUCAGGAGGCUAUGAAGUAAACGAGACACUUGGAUGACAGCAUACUCAUCAAAGGUUAAAUUGGGUGUUUGGUUGAUGGUUAAUGAGCCCGGUUAACGGGAAUCGGAACCUAAUACCCAUACAUUGUGUUUGGAUUAGUAAAAUUUUUGCUUGGAAUGGGAACCUCAUUCCAUCUUGAAGGGUAAAUCAAUACCUCCACACCCCUUGGGUUACCAUUUCCAAUACCCUUCAUUCUCAUAACCCCAUUCCCAUUCCCCAUUCCCAUUCCCACCAAUCAUCCAAACACCCCCUAAAUCUGGGGAGGCUAAUUCUCUUGUCAAAUUUCAUAAUAGAAGUGAACAAGGCUUGUCCAGAAUAGAAGAAUGAGAUUUUCUGGCAUUAUAAUUUAGUGAUGCUUCAUCUUUCUUACCAAUAUAUAUUUAUAUCCAAUAAUAGAUAAACAUCAGAUCUGCUUUCUAGAUUUUGUAGCAGUACUUGUGGUUACUGGUGCCUGGUGGAGGUGACAGUUUUGCCACAAAUCAGAAAAUUAAAAAUAUGGAAAAUGACAUCUUGUUGCGCAGUAAUUCCUUGGAUAUAUCGACUUUACAAUUUAAAAUCCUGUAAGUAAAGUGUACGUUUAGAGUGUGACUGGGGCACUAUAUAUGGACUCGAUUUAUUUCAACAUGUUACAAAAUUCCCAAAUUUUCAUGUCCAAAAGUAGUUCUCAGGAGUUCAGUCCUUUGUCGUUGCAUGUAGACCUGAUUGGUUACUGAAUGGUGGUGAUAAAAUACUAAAAUCAUCCCCUACCCCAUCUGCGCCCACCAUGCAAGACCUGGAAUUUGGGAACCUGGUAUUGGUGCUCAAAAGUCGAAAGAAACGGGCUGUGGUUUUAGGGAUGGCUUCCAGGCAUUUUGAGUACUAUACAAAUUAAUAUAUUAUUAAUGUUUUCUCCUAAUUAUUAUUAUUAAAUCUAAAGUUAGAUAUUGGUGCUAAAAAGUCACCAUUAUUGGGCUGUUGUUUUUAUUUUGUCGUCUCGAAAUUGAAUUGUUAGGAUUUUCCAGGUUAUAAAUACUAAGCCAAAUCAGUGAGAUUUAAACAAAAAAAAGUGUGAAUAUUCAGAUAUCUUGCAAUGAGCAGCCAGUCUCGGCCAUUCGCAGAGUAUGGUCCAGAUAUUUGGGAUGAGAAAUUCACUUCUAAUCACAGAGACUUUAAGGUAUCAUUUUUUAUGUGAAGUUGCUAAUUUUAGCGGUGACUUUUACUACUAAUUGGUGAUCCAUAAGUAGAUUUGUUAAUGGAACAUAGACCAAUUAUACUAACAUGUCUCAGUAAUACAUAAACAGUUGUGGAAAGCAUGUACAGAGGAACGCGAUGAGCUUGAAAAUGAAGUAAGGAGCAUGCUGUUGUCUGCUGGUUUAAACUGGACUGAGAAGUUGAUUCUGAUCAAUACUAUUGAACGCUUAGGAGUUGGCUACCACUUUGCUGAAUAUAUUGAAGUCAUGUUGGCUGAAAUGCAUAAUGCUCAUGCCUGUACUAUUGAAAACUUCAAUCUCUCCACUACAGCACUUUACUUCCGAAUCUUAAGACAGCAUGGUUAUAACGUCUCGUCAGGUAAGCUAAAACAUAUAACAUAGUGUGUUAAACAGAAAUAAAUAUAAGAAAUCAUAGAUAUGCAUGGAUUAUAAUGAACUGAAUAUAUUCCCUUAUACUUGAUUGUUGGUUUAUUUCAUCAGAUAUAUUCAGCAAAUACAAAGAUAUUGAUGGAAAUUUCUCUGAAGCUAUCACAACAGACCCGGAGGGGUUACUAAACUUGUACGAAGCAGCACAUUUGAGAACACAUGGGGAAGCUAUGUUAGACGAGGCACUUGUUUUUACAACAUCUCACCUAACAUCUAUUGCAGAGUCUUUGGAUUCUGGCCCAUUAGCUAAACAGGUGCGGCGUUCCUUGGAGCAGCCCUUACAUAAGGGAAUCCAGAGAAUCGAGGCUAAGCAUUCUCUCCUUUUGUAUGAGCAGAGUCGAUCGAGGAAUGAAGUGCUACUCAAGUUUGCGAAGCUGGAUUUCAAUCUAGUUCAAAUGUUGUAUAAGCAGGAAUUAUCUCACUUAAUUAGGUAACCAACCACACAUGCCAAUGAUUUAAAUUUUAUAGAAUGCACAAAUUAAUGUGAAUAAGGCUAAUUUCAGUAAAUUUGCAGGUGGUGGGCUGAUAUAGACUUUAAAUCCAAAUUUCCUCAGUUUCGAAGCAGGGUAGUUGAAGGUUACUUAUGGGCUGUAGCAAAUGCAUUUGAACCUUGCGAUGCAACCGCUCGUAUCAUGUACACGAAGAUGCUUUGUGCCCUUUCAGUUACUGAUGACCUCUAUGAUGCAUAUGGUACAAUGGAUGAACUAAAUAUGUAUACUAAGGCCAUUGAGCGGUAAAGCAUAAAUUACCCCUUUUUGUGCAGAGCCAAAUUAUAUAAUAUAUACCGCCCUUCUCUAACACCAAGUACAGCCUGUUUUAUUGAACAUAUGGGGUUUAAUUAUACAGGUUAGACGCUGGCAGCAUCGAUGGACUUCCAGACCACUCUAAAUUGUGCUACAUCACUUCUUUAAAUGUCUUCAGAGAAUUUGAUGAAGCAAUGGUUAAGAAAGGAGUUUACUGUGAUCUUUCUUACCUCAAAGAAGCAGUAUGUACUCAGAAAAAUUUUCUUUUUCGUAAAGCUAAUAAUACAACAUAUAAGACAUACCAUAAACUCCUCAGAUGUUUUCUUUUUGUUCCCUCUCUUAUACGUACAGUUCAAAGCAAACUUGUUGGCUUUUCAUAAAGAGUCUACGUGGCGGGACAAGGGCUAUGUUCCACCACUUGAAGAAUAUCUCAUGAACUCAACAACAUCCUCUUGCAUAUGCAUGCUUGGAUUGUGUAUUAUUUUGGGGAGGGGACAUGGUGACACCAUUGGGGCAUGCAGGUGGGCAACAAAAAAACCAAAAGCUCUUGUUGCGGCUGAAAAAAUGGGGCGAAUAAUAAAUGACAUAGUGGGCUAUGAGGUUCGGGGUUAAUCAUGACCUAAUAAAUAUACAUAAAACCUUAAAUAUUUUGCUUUAGUAAGUUGUAAGACGCUAAUUAGUUAUUGUCUUUGUUAAAUUUGAAGGAGGAGCACCGCCGUCCACAUGUUGCUACAUCCAUCGAUUGUUACAUGAAGGAGUACGGGGUUUCAAAGGAAGAAGCGAUUGUCAAGUUAUAUGAAAUGAUCGAAGACACAUGGAAGGACAUAAACGAGGAAUGCUUGAGGCCGACACCCGUUGCAAGAAGUUGUAUCACCACAUUUCUCGAGCUGAUGAGAGUAAAUCAUGUUACCUAUAAGGAUAAUGAUCGAUACACCCAUCCUGAAGGACUGAAGCAUGAAAUUACCCUUAUCUUGGUGGAUCCGAUACCGAUAUGAACUACAAUAUCCUGCAGUUCUUGAACGGUUCUAUAUAUAAUUUCCUUUUUUGAACCUGGGAAAUGUGGCGUUUAUCUAUGUACAAAUAUUGUUUUCCAUCUAUUUAUGUCUUUAUACACUACAAAUAAUCAAGCAACAAACUUGUCUAAUUUGUGUGUAACCUGAAUAAUAUUAAUUUUAUGCAAUAUUAAUGAUCAUAAUUUAUCACUUGUGCAUGCAGUGAUACGGUAUAUUGUUGGAAAACGGGGGCUAUAAGUCUACAUUGACAAGUCAUUUAUCAGCAAUAUUAUAUUGAGUGAAUCCCCAUUAGGAGUUCGGGUUUGAGAUCUUCCUGGCACAUGUUUAAAUACUUAACUAAGCAAUGGAUGAGAUAAGAUGAUCUAAAAAUGCUUUUUUGGAUGUAUUAUUAUUUUUUGGCUUGGGCUCAAAAAUUAUGAUACAUAUUAAUUUAAUUUUAUUUCAGAUUAAUUAAUAUGAUUCAAUUGAAUUAAUUAAAUUAAUUCAAUUAUGUUUCACAUUAAUUGAUAUGAUUUAUAACCGACACAACUCCAUAAGUGCACAUAGGCAACCCUCAACACAGUUUCACAAGACCUGAAUGGUGUUGCAUAAGGUAAUAGGCAACGCUAUGGCAGCGUUACCAAUAUAGGUGUCACGUAAGACAUAUAAUGCAACACUUUGUACAACACCAUAAAAUAUUGCAUUAUGGCUCUUUUGAAACUAUAUAUACAUAAACACUACAAAAAAACCCGGAAUUACCAAUUAAAUUUACCAACGGAAACAAUUCCGUUAUAAUUUCCCAACGGAAUGCUGAGCAACAUAUCACCAACAGAUCACCAACCAAACGUUACCAACGGAUUAAUUCGUUGGGAAAAGUAAGCGCCAAGAUCUCCCGCCUAGCUAUACUGACAGAUUUAGCAUUAAUGAAUUCCAAACAGAAAAGGUAGCAACGGAAUACCAAUAGAUUUGUUACGAAUUAGCGAUGUAAUUUCCGUUGGUAAAUUGGUGCUUCAUUUGUCAUUAUUUUCGUUGGUAAUUCCAUUGCCAAUCAGUCAGUAUAUGAGAAUAUAAAGUCCAUGUGACAUGUUAUUAUAACCGUUGGUAAGUUUUUGGUAAAGUAGAUCGGUCAUCAGGAGAUCGUUCGCCAUUUUUCUUUGGUAAUCUGUUGGUAAAGUAGAUCGGUCACCAAUGUUCCGUUGGGAAUCUGUUGGUAAAGUAAAUCCGUUAGCAUUUAUUUUCGUUGGGAAUCGGUUGGUAAAGUAGAUCGGUCGUUUUAAUUCCGUUGGACAUCCGUCAGUAAUCGAAACAUAUUAAAAGUUUCACCAGACAUUUCUUUCUUCUUCCUUCGGCUUCCAAACUUCUAUCACCUCAUUUUCUCUCUUCCGAAAAUAGCUAAAAAAUCACCUCAAUUCUUCCCAUUUGCAAAGAAGAUUUACUCCAUUUAUAUUAAAAAAGGUUAGAUGCUCUUCAUAUCUUUUUUAAUAUUAAUGACUAAUAAUUCGAAAUGAAAAUUAUUUAUAUAUGUUGUUAAUUUUAAUAACUUUUGUGAUAUUAUUCUUGUAUAAGUUGAUAUCAUUAUAAGUCCUCAUAAAUAACGAAUAUAUAUAUUAUAUUUGUAUAUGUUGAUAGCAUUAAUUAAGUUUUGUAAUAUUAUUCUUGUAUGUGUAUGAUGAAAAUGGUAGUUAUUAGUUCAAAAAAAUCGUUGAAAUUUGCUUGAAUAAGUAGUAAUUAUUUUAUAAUCAUAUUAUUGUUGUUGUUAAUUGAUUCUUAUGUAGGUGGUCUUGAAAUAUGAAUAAUGACCGAUCUUGGAUGUAUGAGAGGAUUGAUGAUGGAGGAUUUUGAAAUUCUUUAUUUAUUUUCGGUGUGGAGGAAUUUAUGAAUUAUGCUAUAUCUCAGCCAACGUCUAUAGGAGGGACAAGUAUACAAUGUCCUUAUUCAAAGUGUAAGAAUCGAAAAUUAUGGAAUGGAGAUAUGGUGAAGCUACAUAUUUUGAAGAAUGGAUUCGUGAAAGAUUAUUAUGCAUGGAGUCGACAUGGGGAGUCAUACAUUUAUGAUGGAAAUGACGAACAUCCCUUAGCAAAUUAUACAAAUAUUUCACAGGGCACAGAUGGGAACAACUUAAUGUACAAUAUGGUUAUUGAUGCAGCUGGCCCCAGCUUUGAUCUGCAUAGUACAGAAGAGAUCCCAAAUGCAGCAGCACAAAAUAUAUACACCAUGUUAAAGUCUUCAGAACGAGACUUAUAUGAUGGCCGUAAAACUUCACAGUUGGCUGCCAUGGCUCAAAUGUUGAGUUUGAAAUCUGAUCAUCACUGGUCGGAGGCAUGUUAUGAUCAAACAUCACGAUUUGUCAAAGGUAUCAUGCCUGAAGACAACAUAUUCCUUGAUAGUUUCUGUAGCACAAAGAAACAUAUGGAAGGACUGUGUGUACCUUCCAUUCAUAUUGACUGUUGUGUUAAUGGGUGCAUGAUAUAUUGGAACGUAGACAUUGACAUGGACUCAUGCAAAUUUUGUUCUCAGCCAAGAUACAAGAUUAGAGUUAAUAGAUCUAAGAGAGAGAGAGAGAGAGAGAGAGAGAGAGAGAGAGAGAGAGAGAGAGAGAGAGAGAGAGAGAGAGAGAGAGAGAGUAGCUGCUCAAAAGAUGAUAUAUUUCCCACUCGCCCCCAGAUUUCAAAGGUUAUAUACAUCACGGACUACUGCAGCUCAUAUGAGAUGGCAUGCUGAUCAUUAUAAGGAAGAUGGUGCGAUGCAUCAUUGUUCAGAUUCAGAGGAGUGGAAGCAAUUUGAUAGAGCACAUCCAUUAUUUUCCUCAGAGAAGGUAAGAAAUGUGAGACUUGGACUUUCUAUUGAUGGAUUUCAGCCAUUUGGUAGUUCAGGCAAAAAAUAUUCUUCUUGGCCAAUUAUAGUGACUCUAUAUAACUUACCCCGUGGAUGUGUUCAAAAGAGGAGCACAUGUUUCUAUCCAAACUUUUACCUGGUCCGAGAAAUCCAAAGCAGAAGAGAGAUGUUUUUCUUCAACCAUUGAUUUUUGAGUUAAAAAUGCUAUGGGAAGUUGGCGUGGAGACAUGGGAUACUUCUUCAAAACAAAAUUUUCAGAUUCAAGCGGCAUUGAUGUGGAAUAUAAGUGUUAGGUCCCGAUAGAGAGUAAAUUAAGCUAGAAGGGGGGGGGGGGUUGAAUAGCUUAAUCACUAAUUUAAAAAUUGAUGUGGUGUAAUAAAAUUUAUCCCCUUUUUGAAUAGCUUUUAUCGAGAGUAUGAGCAGGUGUGCGGAAUCAAUGUAAGAGUAAUACGACACACGAGAUUUUAUCAUGGUUCGUGAUGGCUAACUCAACACUUGGAGUCCACUCACCCCUACUCCAGUCCCCGAGCUCCUCCCUGGACUCGAGAUUUUCUCUACCAUAAAGAAACUCCUUUACAGUAGGCGGAGAAGCCUUUACAAAUAUAUAUCUUGGAGCGUAACUCCCCGUUACCUCCUCACUAUAAAUGUAAACUUACAAGACUCAUCUUGGAGCGUAACUCCCCGUCACAUCCUCAAAGUCAUUGUACCCUGAGUGUAGUCUUUGAACUUCUAAACUUUUACUGGUCUUGGACAAAGGUCUUAGGUCUUGGGUCUUUCCUCUUCCUCACGGUGCGAAGACGACUAACUCCCCGUUAGAUCGUCUAGGAAUUGGGUCUUAGAACGAAGAUAACCUCACUUCACUUUUCCUCACUGCAAAACUUAGAAAACAAUAUUUACGAGAAAUAAUCCUUGUUUAUAAAAAGAGUUUUGGACUAGACACGACAAGGCCGAUAAUGGAUAUAUAUAUAUAUAUAUAUUUAAAGAAUACUUUCCGAAAGAUAUAGAUAGAUCUAAGUAUACUCUUCAACUUACUCCAAUACUAAAGAUGAGUAUUUGGUUGGAGUAAAGAAAGUCUUAUAAGCGUGCUUCGCUUUAGACUUUUUCAAGUAUUCUCGUGAUAUUGCAAAUUACGAAUACUUGUUAAUUUAAACUCCCCGUUGAAUAAUACUUAUAAAGAUCUUCGGAGUUUAAAUUGUCGUCUAUGGCUCAAGGGCUUACGACUUGGGUACUUGUCCUAUAUGACUAACUAUUGUUUAUUACUUCGUAUAUACGUCUAUAGUUGAAGUAAUAAAAUCAAGAAAGCUUUAUGGCGAGCUCUUUAGCUAUUAACUUUUCUUGAAACAACUAUUCUCGUAAUAUAGUCUUUUAGACUAAAUGAAGUCGAGAGAGUGUCUUUAACUUUAGCACAAUAUAAUGAGAUAACCAAACAAUCACAACAAUAUAAAUAUUAUACACUUUAAACAAAUAACAACAAUAAUGGUGUAUAAAGUAUAUAAAUAAGUUAGUUGGCUAAGUUAGUGCUAAGUAAAGUUGAAGAAUACUUUUUAGAUUUUCUUCCCACGGACACAAGGUGAUGGGCGGGAAUAGAAUCACACUAUAUAAAAUGUAUUUUGACCGUCGUCAAAUAUUAGCAUCGAUUUAGAGGUAUUACGAAUCUUUAGUUCAUAUUUAAACGUUUGAUACAAAUCGUUGUUCGUUUGUAACUAGGUAUAUAUUUGAGUUUGUAUAUUUCGAAUGAUAUAUUUGUUCUUGUGUAAUAUAACUCAAAUAUAACCAAUCUUAGUUCGUGUAUAUAUAUAAUGACUUUUUAGUUCGUGUAUAUAUAUUUCGAAUAACACGACUCCUUAGUUCGUGUUUGAAAUAAAUUCGAAACAAGAAAUCUCUUUUAUAAGAGAUAUAAGAUAAAGAGCUUUAAGAUGAAUAGAUCUACAAUAAUAACGAGCUCUUGUAUAUAUAAUGGUCGGUUAAGACUCCGAUAGAAGCUAAUAUAAUAACCACUUACGAAAACGAUCGGAAAGUUCGCCGGAAAAAUUCGCCGGAGUUUCGGUCGGAUUGUGGCUUUAUGGCGGAGCUUGGGCAGCCCUACGGAAGGCCUUAAGUAGUAGUGGUUGAGAGAGAGCUUGGUUGGUGGAACUAAGCUUAUACAACUAAAACCUUGUAUAUAUAAAUAUAUAUGUAUGAGAAUGGAGGUUUUAGAGAAGAAGUAUUUGUUGAGAGUGUUUGUAAAGAUGAAAGAGAGGAUACUUCAAAAAUUCCCAGCAACUAAUUGGCUCUUUAGCUUGUGUGAAAAAUGAAUGGGGAUGGGGUGGUAUUUAUAGGGAAAUUUAGGGUACUGGGGUGAUGUAAGAUGAUGUAAGGGAUGAUGUAAAUGGAGUGGGUGAGUUGAGAGAUGACUACAUGGUUUUUGUCUACUAGCGUUAGCAACAUGUGACUCAAAAUCUCAGCACUUAUUGCUUACUAAAAGUCAAGGUGCACACUCCAAUGCAAACUAAUUAACUAUUAAUUAACGAAUAAGUAUCGUUAAUUAAAUAUAGCUUAUCUCUAAACAUCUCCAAUAAAUCCAACCAAAAAUAUGAAAAAUUUAUAAAUAAUGGAAAAUGGAAAUCUGUGAAGUUUGGUAAUAUUUGGUCAAAGUUUCCUAGGUCAAACCCUCAGUCAAACCUUCUCGGGUCAACCUUUCUGAAACACACCCCGACAAACAUUCUCCAAAAAUCACGAAACUUUUAUCUAACAUACAUAAAAAUGAUAUCCCCAAAGUUUCAAGUCAUUAUAUCAAGUGGAAGUAUUUUAUCCGGAAUUAAAACGAUAAAAUACAAAAAUCCUUUUGUCGAUUUGUAAAACGUUUUUGGCUAUAAUUUUGACUUGAAUAAAUAAUAAAAAUAUAUUUCCUUGAGAAUAAAAUAGUUCGGAGUUUAUGGAAAUAUUUUUGAACAUUUAAAUUUAAUAACCUUCGAUAAAUAAGGAAAUAUAUGAAAACCGAGAAAAUUAGUAUUUGGUCAAAACGAGUAGACCCUUGACUAAUUUUUGAUACCAAAAUACUUAUAAUAAUAAGAAUCAUGGUUUUGAUAAUUUUACAGUGCAUUCUAAGUAUUAAAAAAAUUCUUCGAAAAAUAAGUAAUUUGAGAGACCUUGGAGAAAAUAUUUAAUAGACCAAGAAAAAUGAAUAUUAACAUUUGACUAUCAAAAUAUUAAUAAUUUGAUAGAGUAAAUCUUUAUUUUGGAUAUAAAGCAACUUUUGGAAUAAAAUAUUUAUUUUUGAAUAUUUAAAGAUAAUUUAUUCCGCAAAAUAAGAAAUUGAUAAAUCUGGGAAUAAAUUACUCUAAAUAAAAGAUUUUGAAAAUAAUGUUACAUGAGGAUUCUAAAAAAUAUCAAAUCUUGAUAAUCCUUUUUCGAACUUCAUGCGAGUUUAAUUUUACUAUAGGAAGAGGGAGAAAAAUCUUAGAGUAGCGAUAUUCCUCAGCAUGACUAUUGCUUGAAUAUAUAUUUCUUAAAAAUAGGUAUUUUGACACAAAGAUAUAUAAAAUGAUUUUUCAAAUAAUUGAUAGAAAUAACUUUUUCAUUUAAAGUUGGUGGGCUUAGAUAUCUCGUCCAUACUCGCCCGGACAUUACAUAUUCAGUUGGUAUAGUAAGUAGGUACAUGGAGAGACCUACUGUCAUGCAUCUAAACGCAGUUAAGAGAAUUCUUCGCUACAUAAAAGGCACACUCGAAUUUGGGUUGGUUUAUUUAAAAGAUGGUGGUAACAACAUGUUGUCAGGAUAUUCCAAUAGUGAUCUUGCAGGCAACACGGAUGAUAGAAGAAGCACGGGGGGCAUGGAAUUUUAUCUCAAUGAGAGUUUGGUAACGUGGGUGUCUCAGAAACAGCGAUGUGUUGCAUUGUCAUCGUGUGAGGCUGAGUUCAUGGCAGCCACUUCAGCUGCGUGUCAGGGAAUUUGGUUGCGAAAUGUCUUGAAGCAAGUGACAGAUGAAGAUAUUGGUCCAGUGGUGAUUUACUUGGAUAACAGGUCAGCGAUUGAUUUAGCCAAAAAUCCAGUCUUCCACGGGAGAAGCGAGCAUAUCGAUAUUCGAUAUCAUUUUAUAAGAGAAUGUGUUGAAAGGGGGGAGAUCAUUGUGAAGCAUGUGUGUAGUGAAAAGCAGCGAGCUGAUUGUCUGACUAAACCAUUGGAUGUAGUUAAGUUUGAACGAAUGAGGAACUUGUGGGGCAUUAAGGAUUUGAUCAGACAAGUCUGAGAUUACGGGGGAGAUUGUUGCGUAUUAAUCUCAUACUUGUCAUUUGUCAUUGUCGUUUUAUUUUAGCUGAAGACUAAGUCAGUCACUUAGUUGAGAGUUUUUAGGAUACAUGUUUAAUAAACGUUAAAGUCAGAGUCAUGGUAGGAGAAGUAGUUGAGCACGUUGUUCAUUUCCUUGUUUUUAGAUAGCAGUUUCUUUUUGUUUUGCAUCAGCUAUAUAUGUAAGUUUUUGAGGAAAUAAAAGUGAAGUCUUUUGGACACCCAAUACUUGCUUUGUUUAUCAGUUUUACAAUACACAGUUUAUAUAAAUAUAGAAAUAUACACUCUGUAUUACAAUAUAUUUAACAGUAGUACAAAAAUUGUAAUAACGAUUAAAUUGCGAGUAUACACAAAGUGAUAGUUCUUUAAAGUGAAUAGUUCAAGUGGUCUUCCGCCUAAGAGAGUACACAUAGUGUACUUUACCCUCAAAUGAAUAUGGGACACGUCAUAAAUUUUUUGAGAUGCUGUUAUAUCCAUAUAAUAGUAAAGAAAUAGAUAUGUAAUCAUUUUUUUAUUGUCUUAACAUAAAUGUGAAAUGUAAGAUUAUAAAAAAAUAAUUGAAGGGAGGUCUUAAAGCUUAUAAUAUGUCAUGCAUCUGAUAAAAUAAAUAAUAUAAAUUUGUUUCUUUUUAUUUUUUCACCUUGAUGAUUUUAAAUUGCAAUUAUCAGCAACAAUGUCAAGGGCGGAACCACAACAAAGGCUAUGGUGGGCUUUAGCCUAGGUAAAAAAAAUAUCCUAAAAUUUUCUAUUACUCAGCCCAAAAGUUUAGGAGUUAGCCCAACCCAUUAUAUAAUUUUUAUGGGAUGAUACAACAGACAUAUACCGACUCCCGUGGCUUGAAAAACAAAACAGAGCACUCAAAUUAUAUAAACAGUUUCCAAUCCGCAUGUUCUACUGCUGGUUUGGUCUUUGAAUGUUGAUAUGCUGGUUUUGGAUGUUGGUUUAUGCCGCUGCAGCCUACAAUCAGCAAGCAGUUUUUAUAUUAUGUGUUAGGAAUAUGUCCAACUUGAUGAUAAUACUCAAAACACUUAAUAGAAAUAGGUAUAAGUUAAAAUAUAGCCAUCAACGGAUACCACUUAGUACAAACAUCCGUUGAUGGAGUAGCUUAUAUUUUAAUAAGAUUUUUGUAGCACAUUUCUGUAACUCUCAAUAAAGUAGAAACUUCACCUUAGUUGAUUAUUCAAGUCAUGUUGACUUACUUAGAUUGAUAGGCAAAAUAGGUUGGUGAAUUGUAAAUAUUAGUAUGCCUUGUAAUUUUGUCUAAGUGAAGCAGUGUCAACGGAUAAGAGUGGAUCAACGGAUAAAGGAUUGUUAUCUCUACAUCAACGGAUAAGGUCUAAACAUCUCAUCAACGGAUAAAGUCUCUAGACUAUGCAUCGACGGAUAAAGCUGUGUAAUAAGCCAUCAACGGGUAAUUGAGCAUCAACGGAUAAAAGCUUAGCACAGAAAUAGAAGUUGAUGGUGACUUGACCUUAGCAGUUGACUGAGUUACAAAAAGAAUGUGGCAGCCUCUUUGCAAGUCUAGAAGAAAGAAAACACUUCCAAUUUGAUACAAGAGUCUCAGAUUCAAAGAUGCUCAAACAUUGGAGACUGUAUUAACAGAGAAGUGAAGCAACAUGUGAAGACUUUCAAGUUGUAUUUUUGUUUGUACUUCACGUGUAAACUUUGGUGUUAUAUAAACCAAAGUAGUAGCAAGUUAGAUAAGUGAGAAAAUAGUUUUAGUGAAUAUCUUUCUUGUAUUUUCUCUCUCAAACUUGUAAGCAGCUAGCACUACAAGAAAAAGGUUAAUAGACAUCGGUUUUUGACCGAUGUCUUUGUCGGUGAUGUAUGUAUAUCGACAUCGGUCAAAAACCGAUGUCUAUAAUUUUAUUAGACAUCACAUAUAACUAUUUUGACGAUGUUCAUGCAAUGAUUAUUUACAAAACAUGUUAGGGAUAAAUGAGUUUAUAAUCAAGUUAUUAUAUGACAUUACACAUACAAGGUGCCAUGAAUUUUGCCACACAUACAUCAUGUAUUCUCUUGAAAGUGAUGUUAAUGAUAUUUUUCGACAUCGUUUAUGUUUAAACAUGUGAUGUCUAUUUAUCUAGAAGUCAUCAGCUUUGAUAAAUUAAAACCGAUGUCUUAUAUGUUCUUUAACAUCACUUUUGGUUUAAUAUAAGUGAUGUAUGUCGCUAUUUUAGACAUCAGUUUUGGAUUAGUAAAAGUGAUUUAUGCAACCUUUUUGACAUCAAUUUAGUUUCGAUAAAAGUGAUGUAUAUUUGGACUUUACUGAAACAAAUCUGAAACUUCGUAAGUAUAUGUAGCCAAAAAUUCAAUCAACCAACCAUUCAAUUUAUACAUUAACCAACAGCACCUAUCAGAUCUGCAAAAUAAAUCAAAAUAACUACCACGUUCAUCCUUAACAAUUCAAUCUGAAAACACAAAAUCACUAGCAAUUCGAUCAAUCCGGAAAAAUAUACCAAAAUACAAACUACCGACCUACCACUAUUAUUUAACUGAAGUGUUCCGAUAGUACAAAUUGAAUGACCUUAAUUAAUUAUGUACCAAACAUAAGGCUAUCACUAGAAACUUUCUAAAUUAACAUUUUACUAUAACCGACUGUUUUCGACGGUAAAUUUUAUUCUAUUUUUUUGUAACCUGAUGACGGCCAUUCUUCACAAUAUUUUAUUCCUAAGUAAUAUAUGAAGUUGUUUGGUUUAUUGUAAAAUAAGUACGUGCUAGCCUAUAAUAUUUGCAAUUCUGUAUUUAAAUAUUAAUAAUUUUUUUAUAUAUAUCUAAAUUAAUAAUUUAACAGUUAUAAUGUAUUGUAUCGGACUAAAACCAAAACCAACUUUUUUCAUAUUUAUCCUUAAAAACAUAGAAUAUUGUUUAUAACUUAUAAUUGAGAAUUCACUUAAUUAUAAGUGAAAUACUGUAUAACUUAAUUUAUGUGUUUCGUUAACUUUUUAAUAUUUUGCUUAUCAAUCAAAAGUUAAAUAAUAAAUUAUUUAUACAAAUAUUAUUCAUAAUUAAUUUUGACUUGUAAGAGUCUGACGAACGGACACCAUAUCGACUUAUUUCCCAAAAUUAAAAUAUUCUGUAUCUGACUUCUCGAGCUGUUUGUAUACUCCAUUCUCUGUUUCAAUCUCUUCUUUUCUCUAUUUCUUUUAUUUUGCGAACUUUCUAAUGAUUAUAUUUUUCCUAAUGAAAACCCAUAAAAGUUAAUUAAGUGGAUUGAGUAACCCAUAAAUUUCUUUAAAUUUACACAUACGAGAUCAAACUUUCCGCUAAUUAACAUUUCAUAUUUUCGAAGAUUCCAAAAAAAAAAAAAAACUGAACCGAGUUGACAUAACUAAUUCUAUCUCCCACCAGCUUCGGCCGGUUACAAUUUCCAACACCGCGGUAACUGCAUGUUUCCACCACCACUCCCGGCGGCGAUCUUUGUCUUAACGGACUCGAAUUCGGAUAUCCGGCAAGGAAUUUGGAUCCCACCCGGGUGAUCAAACCCAUAUAUCUUCUCCGCUUCUUUCAACAAUCUCCCAAACAAGGGAUGGUUAAAAUACACUAAUGGCACCAAAACCCUACAUGCAUCAUCUUCUUUUUCUCCAACAUAUAUUGCCAGGUGCCCUCUAGGCACCCUAUAACCCGGGUGGGUCGCUUCCGGGUCUUGACCCACCCGGAUGUACUCCGACCUAUUUUUCGGAAAACAAAGACGUCUAGCACCUUGUUUUAGCAACUUCAUCCAACUACAAAGCUUCGGCUUACCUUGUUUCGGGUUCGGGUCGGGUUGUCUUAAACGCUCGAAUGACAUAGACCUCGAUUGUUUACUGGCUUUAAUCCAUUUAAAGAUCUUUCCGAACCGUUGACCGACCCGAAAUCCUUUGACUUUCUGCAUGGUCUAGGUGUAGUCGUUGAAAUUAUUUCUGAAAUGGUUGAGUGAGAAAAUGCAGGAAGGUUUGGCGUCUGUGGUUCUUGAUGGACUGAAAAGCUACUUAUAUACACAUGAAAAAAGUGCGAAUGUUAUUUAAAAUGAGUGGAUUGUAGCAAGUUGAACAUGUUAGGCGGGGAGUGGUCGGCACACGGUCAGGGCCACAACUCUGCGUGGACUGUGCUCUUUCUGUGGUUGUACAAGAUUUUGAGAUCCGAAACACAAUGACACGUAUUGCAUCGAAUCUGUUUUUAUUUCCGAAUCGGCCGUUUUAUUACUUCAUCACACUGGAUUCUUUACCUUACUUUUUGACACGCAUUUGAGACAUCACUAAAAUAUCUUUAAAAUAUGUGCAAGAAGUGUACGUAAACAAUUUGGCGGGACGGAAUUAGUAUGUUUUAAUACUUUUUAGGGUGAGCUACGGUCGAAACCAGAUAUCCCGGACCAAUAUAUGUUUUGUUCUGAUUUGUUUGAAUUUUACCAACUCGAAUUUUAGGAUACUUAUCUGGUUUCGGAUUUGAUUUAUUUGAAUUUUUACCAUUCCUAAAUUUAUAUAUAAAUUUCGAGUUAUGUGUCGAGUUAUGAAUUUUUACCAUUCCUAAAUUUAUACUCCCUCUGUCCCAAUUAAUUGUAUACGAUUUCCUUUUUGGGACGUCUCACUAAUUGUAUACAUUUCAAAAGUAGUAAAUUUUUAUAAUAUAAAACAUCAUUUCACCAACUACUUUCUUCCACUAUCUCCAUUCUUUUUAUAUACAAAUGGCUGGGACGGAGGGAGUAUAUAAAUUCGAGUGAAUGAGUGACUAAGAUCAAAUUUAGCCACCAUAAGCCGACACAUGACACCUAGCUUAUUAGAAUCUUUCUUCAACUAAACAAAAUAUAUAAUUGUAAGAGAUUCUACUUAAACAAAUCAAAAUUUGCAUGCUAAUUAACAACCAGAUUGAAGACACGGUGACAUGAGUGUUUCUUUAAUUCCAGUUUGUUUCAACACCACCAUGCACGGAUCUAACACUCGGUGCAGUUAACGCGAAUUACUCCAUAAUGUUUGUUAAUAUCGUGCUAAUGAGACAUCGGUUUUGCUAUUUUUAAGAUGUUUGUCAUGAACUGCUCUAAAUAUCUUUAAUUAAAGUUUUCCAUGAAUUUUUUGCAGAAUCAUAUUCAGGUGCCCUAUGAGUAGGUAGCUUCCGGAUAACUUUUUCACAUUUGGAAGCAGGAUGGGCAUUAAUCCCCAUCCGCCCCAUCUUCGCCUGAUCUCCGCACCGAUGAUCAGGGGAUUUGGGGAUUUUUUCUGGUACGGGUCGGGGGAACGGAGAUGACUUUGAAACAAAAAUUAGGGAUAGGGUCGGGUACGAUUUUUCACAUUUCCCUGAUCUUGAACCCCAACCCGAUUUUCCCCAAAUAUCGGCCCAAUCCCCGACCCGAUUAUUAUAUAUAUAUAUAUAUAUAUAUAUAUAUAUAUAUAUAUAUAUAUAUUAUGAUCAUUUAUUAAUAUGUUUAUAUACUUCUUUAGGUGCAACUUCAGUUCACACAUGUUUAUUGAUUUAGGAGAAAAUUAUUUUGAUUAAAAUUAAUCUAGCGUCAUCACAUUCAGAGGACAAGUACUAAACCACCUUCACAAGACAAUUACUUUGAUUGGAGUCUAAAAGCAACUCCAAUCUUUUAAAAUCCAUGUUUAAGGUAAAAUUUAUCAAUAUAUAACAUAAUAAAAUAUAGGGCGAUUAUGUAAAAAAAAAUUAAAUUUCAAUAAGACAUUUCUCUCUAAUUAUUAUAAAUCUUAUGAUAUUGUCAAUAUUUGACUAUUUAUAAAUACUAGCCUUUAACCCGUGCAAAGCACGGGCGCUUAUAUAACUCGUAAUUUAUUAAUUAUAAUUUAAAUCUUAACACCAUUUUAUUAGUAUUUUAGUAUUAAUAAUUUGGAUUUUAGUUAAAUUAUAUUAACCAACUGAUUAUAUCUUCUAACGGAAAUUUAGCUUUCACAAUUUAUUAUCUAUCUAUAAUUAUUUUUCUGAUAUUAAUAUGUGAUAGUUUAUUAUUCAAUUAAUUUUAAAUCAAAAUUUUCAUAUUUCAUAUAUCUUCAUAUGUUACGUAAUGGUUCGUGUUUGUAAUGAAAUAGAACACGUUAGAGUUAAAUUUCGAGUAGAAUACGUUAUAAUUAAAAAGUAGCGUCUCUAAUUAUUUAUAUGUAUUUUAGACAAAAGAUAUUCAAAAUUGUAUAUUUAUAAUUAGUUAUACAUUUAUCUAUAAAUUUUUUUUAAUAUUAAUAUAUGUUAUUAACAGUAGUUUCAUCUUUUUCAACUAAUUAUAAAUUAUAUUUAAAAAGAUAUUAAUAUACACAAGGAGUGUUUUUAGUAUAUGAAACUGUUUAAUAGCUAUCUACAUGUUGUAGACUUUUAGUUUUAGAGGAGAGUACCAAACCAAAAUUUUGUACGACUACAAAUUAUACCUAUGUUGGCUUUUUAUAGUAUAGUAUAGAAUAGCUAUCUACAUGUUGUAGACUUUUAGUUUUAGAGGAGAGUACCAAACCAAAAUUUUGUACGACUACAAAUUAUACCUAUGUUGGCUUUUUAUAGUAUAGUAUAGAUAGUCAACCUUUUGUGUGUAGGUUGUAUUUGGCCGAUAAAGGACUAGAUUUGACCUUAUCUGUUAUUAUAUUAAGUAAUAUAUUUAUUUAUUUAUAAUAAACUUAAAUAAUAAUUAUAUAUUAUUUUAAAAUAUAAUAAAUAAUAUAUUCACUACCAUCUCAAAAAGUAUCUUGUAAAUGAGAAACGUUGACAAAGACAAAAAAGUUAUAAAUUAAAUGAGAAUUAUAUCCAACAUAGUUCUAACAUUAUUGAAAAAUACCCUAAUCAGAUUCAGGUUUUAACAUAUAUAAAUUUCGGCAUCAUCGAUACUGUGAAAAGGUGAGACUAGAGGUGGCAAUCGUUUCGUUUCGUGUACUUUCAUUUCGUGUAUUUUCGUGUUUCGUGUACUCGAAGGUGAAACCCGUAUCCGUCCGUUAUUAAUUUCGUGUACCUAAUUUGAAACCCGUAUCCGUUUCGAAUCGUUUCGUGUAUAUUUCGUGUACUUUUCGUGUAUAUUAUAUAUAUAAAUAUUAAUAUAUUUUUUAAUCAAAAAAUGGAUUUAAUAUAUAUUUUCCUUUAUAAAUUUAUUAAAUGUGAAUGAUAUAUAUUAUACUUGUAUACAAUUCUUUAUAAAUUUGUUAAUGUAUCUACAAUAUAUAUCCACACAUACAUAUAAAUAUAUACUUUAUACUCAAUUAUAUAUUUAAUAUAUCAUUACAUAUAUAUAAUAUAUAUAAUCUACAAAUAUUUCGUGUACUUUCGUGUAUUUCGUGUACCCCAAAUGAAAACCCAUAUCCGACACGAAAUCUAUCGUGUAAUUUCGUGUUCGUGUACUUUCGUGUUUCGUGUAUCGAAAAUCAAAACCCGUAUCCAUUUUUUUCGUGUCGUUUCGUUUCGUGUUAGCGUGUUACGUGUCAAAUUGCCAGGCCUAGGUGAGACAGCUGGGUUCUUUACCUAGCUUCCUGGAACAUGCCCGUAUCAUUCGUUUAUCUAUCUGGAAAAGAUAAAUUUCAACACCACUUGCGUGCUCCUCUAUUUCAGUGCAUAGUUUUUAAUUUUUGUCCGACCAACUUGACGUGUAUAAAAGCAAAUUUAAAUUUAAUUAGAUACUUCCUAUCCUUUUUUAUUGUUAGGUUUCUGUUUUUAUUGAUUAAAUUGACUAAUCGAAAAUUAUAAAUCACAUUUUCAUUAUUUUAAAAAACUAAAAAUUACAUGUUUAAGUUGUUUAAAAGGUUAUUUUCGAUGACAUAUUCUUUUUGUUUUUUCAAUUGAUAUAAUGUUAAUAAAUUUUUGUCAAAUUUUGGUUAAUUUGACCGGGACAAAACCAAAUCUGACAAAUAAAAAGGGACGGAUGGUGUGAUAUAAGCUCUUGAUUAAAUGUUUCCUUUAACGAAAUAUGCAAAAUUUCAUUUUAGUGCUUGAUAAUUGCCUCUCUCUCCGUACUAUAUAAUACUAUUAAAAUCAAAAUAUUAAAAGUUUAUUAACAGACCGCUACUUCUAGUAAUUCCAUUUCUAAAAAUGAUAAUCUUCAUGUUUUCUAUCUUCAUGUUUUCUAUUUUAUGUAAUUUAAAAUAAACUUGCAUAAUUAUUCAAUUAAGGAGCCUAAAUAUGAUUAUCCAGUUUGUAUUACUUCUAUAAUAUCCCUAUAAGCGUGCGUACGUGUGUGUAUAUAUAUAUAUCAACUGGAUUAUAUGCAUGCGUCUCGGAUGCAGCUCACACACUGAUGCAAUUUAUAAUAAUAUUUUUUUUUAUGAUGUUGCAUGCCUACAUAUUCUUAAUUCUGAUAAUGAGUUAGUUGUCUGGUCAAACAACUACAACAUCAUCGUAAUCCUACAUUAGGUUUUGUUGGUGUCCUGACCACAGGAACAAUGUAGGUUACAGUAUUUGUCUCUUUUCACCAGUCGAAUUGUCUUGAUCGGUCUUUCCAAGAAUCUAGCUCAGGGUCAUUCUUACACCCUGCUCCUGAGUUUUAAAAAGGGAGGAAAGCAAGUGAAGAGGAAUUAAAGUUAUCUAACUUUCACUCCUACUCGUGCUCCCGAGUUUUUUAAAAGGAGGAAGGCGAGUGAAAGUGAGUGAAAAUAUAGCAUACUUUCACUCCAAAAAACUUUCACUCCAAAAGUGGGAUGAAAGUGAAAGCACACUUUUAAACUACGAAUAAGGUUAUGUAAAUCAGAAACUAUUUUACAUGGUUGUGCAUUUAGAUUUUGAGUAUUUAUAUCAACUCCAGAGUAUUAGGCAGAAACGUUCAAUUAAUUUCUACGUACGAUACUCAAAUGUGUUGAGAUAUUUUUUUUGAAAUGCCAAAUAUUUAUAUUUUUAAUCAAAACAUAUUUAAAUUGUUGAAAUAAUCUUGAACUUAGUUAUUACUUAUUUGUUUUGUUUAAUUAGCAAUAUAAAGCCCAUGUAUUUGUUUUUAAACCGGAGGUGACUAAUUAAGUCAGUUUAGUUUUGGUAAGAGUUUAGUGGAGUAGUGCUCGCAGUUUCAAUGAGUCGGGAAGUUGCUGGUUUAGCUCCUAGUUUUUAGCCACCACUCUGGGUGUGCGUUGAGUAUAUAUUUGCAUGUAUUUGUUUCAAUUUUUAUUAUCAAUAUUUGGUAUCAGAGCAGGUGAGGUGCUCAUCAGCCAUCAGUGAUGGUGAAGCCACUGUUGACGUAUGUUUGAGUGACCGCUGGGUGGCUGUGCUGUAAAGAAGAAAGCUACUGCACGCAGUGGCAUGAUGGUGGCGAACAUGCAUGUGUAGUAUGGGAUGCAUGUGUAGUAUGUGGCUGUCGAGAAAGACGAGAUGAGCCGUGUAAGAGAGGGAGUUCUUUGGACUUCGAAGACUCUAUGGUCUCGAGUAGAAGAUGCAACAGAGUGGUUGCAGCACAGAAGGAGACAGGCAAGAUUGUCAUGGCCCAGGCCCAAGUGACGAGGGGCUGUCAUGGAGGGGUCGGAGAAUGGAUAUCAAUCCAGUGAGUGGAGGUGUUGUGUUAAAUUAUAAUUAACCGCAAGCGUACGGUGUCUGUUGUAGUGCAGACUGACAAAUGCGGGUCGUAUCCUCAAGUAAACAGAAGUUACCAAUUUUAUUCAGUUAUAUUCAAUUGUUUCCAGAACAAAACAAUUAUUGAAUAAAUUUUAACUAACUAAAUAACACUAACUAAAAAGACACUAAAUUAAUAUAUUUAAAACCUAGGUCAAACAGGUCCACCAUGCUUACACAAUAAUUAGCUCUAAGCUAAAGCAAUUAAAGUGAUCAUGCAACUAGAGUUUCUUAAUCUCUCUCAAGUAUCAACACUCUCAAAACAUUCUUACACAAAUAAUCACUUUUAGUAAUUCAGCUAAUCAGGUAAUUAAAGCAAUGUUAAUCACUCUCGAGUAUUAACCCUCUCAGAAAUCUAAUGAUGCUCUCGCAUUCAAAUUCAAUCCUACUUAUUGUAAGUGUGCCUCUAGUAGUAUAUCUCUCGUAUACUUCUGUUCGCAAAAAAUCAACUCAUGAUAUCGGCCAAUCACACAAAUCAAUAUUAAAACAUAUCAAUUAGAAUUGCCACAACAUAUCAAAUCACUAUAAAAAUCAUGCCAAUAUAAUAGUGCAAAUAUGGCUUCCCUUUAAGCCCUAGAAUACACUACUCGAUACUAUUUAAACAAGUAAAACAACUAAGAGUAUCUCCAAGUAUGAAAAGCCCUUAGCCAAAAGUCUAGUUGACUUAACAAAAUUAAAAAUUAUGGCCAGUGUCUACAAAAAACAGCACUCCAACGGUUAAAUAAAUACCCAAAAACCUAAUCAUAUUUUUUAAAUUGCUCAAAUCUUUUGUUGAGCGAAGAUAGAGCAGUAUCAACAAUGUGUAAAAAGUAAUUAACACGAAAAAAAUCUUCAGCAACUUGAAUUGGCUCAUCACUUGUACUCUCAUCAAUGAACCUCUUUUUUCUACGAACACGAGUUUCACGAAAAGUUGGUUCCACCCCCAUUUCUAGAGCAAUCUUUCCAGCUUCAUCUUUUGCAUUUUUGAAACCAUUGUUCCUGUACUCUUCAAAAAAGUGUAUAAGACGUUGUAAUAGAGUAAUACAUGCAUCAAUAUCCAUAUCCUUACUUUGGAGAAUUUUACUAACUUUAUUCACUUUCUGUAGAAUCUUAAACCAAAUAACCAUGCCCACAAGAAAAUCAAAGUUUUGAAGAUCAAAAUUAACUAAAGAACUUGCAUCACUUGUGGUGGUGGCAUCAACACUAUGUUCAACUAGAUGAAGUAACGCAUCUCUUAUUUGUGGAACUUGGAAUCUUAUUGCCUUGACGCUAGAAAUACGACUUUCCCACCGUGUAUCCGACCAUGACUUUAAUGCAAGCCCAUUCCCAUUUUUAUCCUUCACAUAAGAUUUAAGAACCUCCCAUCGUUUUGUAGAACCAUAAAAUAAUUUAUAAAUUCGUUGUACCACUCCAAAAAAAGAUUUAGCUUGAAUUGAACUCAUUGCCAUAUCACAAAGUGCAAGAUUAAGAGAGUGACAACCACAUGGAGAGUAAAAUGCCCUAGGAUAUUCUCUUAACACCCUAGCACUUACACCUUUGUAUUGUCCUUUCAUAUUUGAACCAUUGUCGUAGCCCUGCCCUCUCAUAUCAGUGAGAUCAAGUUUCAAAUCUCUAAGAGAUUCUUUAAGUUGAAUGAAAAGUGCAUCUCCAGUUGUUUCACUAACCUUCACAAAUUCAAUAAAAAACUCUUCCACUGAAAUUGGAGUAGUAGAAAUAUCAACACAUCUUAUUAUAAGACUCAUUUGUUCUUCAUGACUAAUGUCAGGAGUACAGUCAAGAAUAACAGAAUAAUAUUUAGCUCCCUUCACAGUAGAAAUAAUUUUUUUCUUGAGUUCAGUGGCCAACAGAAGUAUUAGUUCGUUUUGGAUGUUAUGGCCAAGAUAAUGAACACGAUGUAUCUCUUUCUUUCGAAUACGCCUAAGGUGCUCUUCCAUUAUUGGGUCAAACUCAGCAAUCAUUCGAAUUAUACUUAAAAAAUUUCCACUAUUAUCAUCAUCGAGUUUUCCACUCCUCCCACGAAAAGCCAAAUUACUACUAGCAAGAGUUUUAAUAACACACGUGAUUCUCUUCAAAACUUCACCCCAAUAUUUUUUUUCUUCAGCUAUGAUUUUUUGAUUAUAAGAAUCAAUUGUCAACUUCUUUUUCAACCUUGUUUCUAACUCCAUCCAAUCUGUCAAACUAUUUAAAUGAUUGUUACUCUUUUCAUGCUCAUCUAGCCUAGAGUAGAUAUUUUUCCAAUCAUUAUAUCCCAUAGUUGCUGUUGUUAAAGGACUUGAUACAACCUUUUCCUUUUUAAAUAGCACGCAACAAAAACAGAACACCUUAUCUAUCUUCCGAGAGUACACAAGCCAUGACCUAUCAAGUUUUUCUCCAUUCAGUAAAGAUCGGGUGUAGUGUUUGUUACGAAAACUCCUAUUUUGUUCAUUAACAGGAUAUGCUUCCUCCAAAACUCUUAUUGAACCCUUUUCUACCAAAAAAUCAAUCUUUCUUUGUGACAUAUUCUUCUCCCAAUUUCCCGGAUCAAUCAAAUCACUUAAAUUUUCAUCCAUAGAAAUAUCAGGCAAAACAUCACUAUUCAUGUUAUUCAAAUUUUCAGCCAAAUGUUCAUCAGCAGUUAUAUCAUUAAAAUUUUCAUCCACAAAAUUCUCAGGAAAAUUAGUAUCAACAUUCAAGUCAUUGAUAUUUUCAUCCACUAACUUCUCAGGCAAAUUAUCAUUAACAGUGACAUUCUCACUUGAAUUACCCAAUAUAUUGAUAGGUUUCACAUACCUAUCCAUAGAUCCUUGUAAAGAUUGUGUGAGUUUGUUUUGCAUCUCUUUUUUCUUUCUCUUGAAACAUCCUGAAUCAUGCUUCCUUUUACCCGUCAUUAUGCUAACACCUGUAAUAUACUACAAAGAAUCAAAAAUAUGUAGUAUAUAGUAUAGUAAAUUAAUUUUGAAUUAAAAAUCUCAAAGUAGAGAAGAAUUAAAGAGAUCACUAUAUAUUACCUUUGCUGGCUUGCUGCUCUGGUUCUAUAUCUGCUCAAUUGAGCGUAUUAGGUUUUCUACCUUUUUGGAUAUAUUAAAGACUUAAAGUGAUUUAAAAUAUUGAAAAACAUUAUAUUUUAUUGAGCUUUUAUCUAUUUUUUAUUCUAUUACAUGGGCCUAAAGUUAAAGGACUGUAUAUAUAGGAGGCCCCUGUAUGGAUGGAGGCCCUAGGCAAAUGAUUGGGGAGACUCCCCCUGGAGACGCCUCUGCUCCAACCAUAGCAAGCCCUUGUCUAUAAUUAUAGCCAUCCCCUUGUGGAUGACUAUAUUUGUCGAAACACUACAGAUCUGUAGUGAAUUCCACGUCAUCUACCGCAGUUUAUUAUCCUCCUUCCCGCUGAUUACAAAUUAUUUAUUACCAUAUUAAACUGAUAUAUUCUAUUUUUAACAAUAUAAAUAUUAAUAACAUACUAUUUUUAUAUUAUAGCCAAUACCAUUGAAGCACAAUGUCUUACAGGUUCAGCAAGUUUUACAUAAUGUCUUACAGGUCCAAUUUAGCCAACGAUUAUAGCCAACGUCAUUGGAGAUUCUCUAAUAAAAUCAAAGAAAACAUAAUAAAACUAACAAGAGAAAAGAAGAAAACUACAUAAUGAAACUUUUAACCUUCAUUGUUGUCAUCCAAGAAAAGUUUUAGUCUCUCCAUAAGUCUCUCUAAUCAAACCCUGAUUCUAAUCUAAUAUUAUACCAAAAUAAAAACUAAUCAUAUCUCAAAUAAUAAAAGUAUUUUAAUAUUGAAAACAAUAAACAAAUAGAAAUCCAAAUUCAAGUAGGAUUCUCUCUCAUAAUUUGUAACUUUCUUUACUGCUCUUUACCUAUUGAACCUUACUUUUGGACCACUUCUGAAUUAAAAGAAAUUUCAUAAGUUUCGCGUGGGCUGUAAGAUCGUCCAAAUCCGACAUCCGGAACUCUAGCCCAAAUAGUGCACAAAUCGGGUAGAACCCAACAUAAAUCCGAAUUUUAAUAGAAUUUAGCUCCAAAAUAGCUAAUUUUCUUCAAAUUCAUCUCAACUUGGAAUUCUUUAUUCCCUACAAUAAAACAUGAAAAUAUAUUAAAUAUCCAAAUCAGUGCAAAAUCUUCAUAUAUAUGAGAAUAAAAUCAGACAGAAUAUAUAUAAAAAUAUAUACUAUCAGGAGGUUGAGACCUCGAAAUUGCGGAGGUAGAGACCUCAAUAUUAAGCAUACUCAUGAGCCCCAAUCGGGACUGAUCAUGAGCCUUCAUGUCUUCAUCAUCCUCUGAUGAGGUGAGGGAACCCAAACAUCUUCUGUUGGGGUGAGGGAACCCAAAUUAGGGGGCGUAGACCUAGAGAGAGUGCCCACAAGAGACUUAGUGAAUAAAAUGGAUAACCUAUUAGAUGAGGCCAGCUUGUAGUAAUGAUGAUGAGACAUGAGAGCCCAGCUGAAAAAUGAGCCCUAGAAUGAUGACCCCUAGACUACCGGUCCUGAUCAUAGCGAGGCCAACGUAAUGAGGCCAAGAGAUAGCGAACCCAAGGCUCAUUGUUGAUUCUCAUAAUGACCCCUAGGGUGAUGACCUCUAGGAUGAUGACCCCUAGGGCGGUGACCGUGGGGUGAUGACCCCUACGAUGAUGACCCUACAGAAUUAAUCCUUUAAGUCUUCAUAAAUCUUUUAAGUAUAAUGAGAGGUGGACUUGUAGAAUAAGAACUUGGUCCAAUUCCCAUUUUGAGUUUGAGAGCAAAUAAUUUCAUUAAUAGAAGUUAGUAGUACCUAAAUCAACUAUAAUAAAUAUUAAAAAUUCACAAAUUAAAUCCAAACUUUGGCCACCGCCAGUUCUUCAGAAUUUACAAAUAAAAUACAAAAUUUGUGAAGUGAAUACGAGAACACUGGAGAAUCGCAACACCUCUAGGCAUUAUCCCAUAUGUAGAGCUUAUCUUCUACCCUGGCCACAGGAGGUAGCGGCAGAUCAUUUACCAGAUAAACUCUGGCUUAAAGUCUUCUGCGGAUAAAUUUGCAAUUGAGCACUUGCACUAUCUGAAGAUUUGUCAAGUUACCGAUGCUUGGAGAAGGAAUGCCAAAUAAACUCUGGCUUGGAGUUCCUCUGCAGAUAAUAAUAACCAAAAAAAAAUAUUUACCUCAUUGUACUAACAUUACUAUCUACACAAUCUGUCACAGUAUGAAUAAUUACUACCAUUCAGAACUAUAAGAAAAAUUUCAUGCAUUUAACAAGAAUUAAGUUUGCUGAAUUUCAUGAAACUAAAAGCAAGCAGAAUUAAGGAAGAACAUACAUGCCAACGACAAGAUAAUCAGGUGAAUAGGUGACCGUUGUCCAGCUACAUGGAUCAGCUGCAUCAGAAUCCCACUUAGCUAAAACCCCAUGAGGAUCCUUCAAAGCAGCUUUAAUACUCAUCAAAGCUUGCACUGUAGUAAUUGUAUAAUAAAAAAGAAAUUAAUUACCUUCAACAUUGACUCCUUUAGCAGAAGUCCAUAAGCUCAGGUAAAUCACAAAACAAAACACAUGAGAUAAAGGAAUAUUAUUGAAUAAUGAAGAACAUCCAUAUUUUUAGUAAAUUUAAUAUUAAAUAAAAACCACUAAUUUAUAUAUGGUUCAAAAAGAUUAUUUGUUAACUACCAUUAGAUAGUAAUGAUGUAUAAUUUAUUUUCUAAUUUUGUAUGUCAUCCUGUAAGUAUAAAUAGGUUCAUACAAAUUGUUGUAAUCAAGUUGAAGAGAUAUAUAUUUUUACAUAUAUUUUAUACUCUUUUAUCUUCUCAGCACUAUUAGCAAUUAACUCAAAUACCCAACAUUUUGGUAUCAGAGCCUCAAGAUCAAAAGGCCUAUAUCAUACUUCCGCAAUAUAAUAUAUAAAUAUGUCAUUUUCUCAACAACAAGUUAUUCCCAUUUUUAAUGGAGAAAACUAUAAAUUCUGGAGUAUUAAAAUGAAGGUGGUUCUACAAGCAAGCCCACACUUAUGGAAUGUUGUAGAAACUGGCAUACCUCAAAAUGUUGCAACUGAAGCCACCACCACAUCGACACAGGCAUCAACACAGGUUGAUUGGCCACAAAGAGAUGCAGAGGCAUUAGCCAAAAUUCAUCUUGCAGUAACAGAUACAAUAUUCCCCCGAAUAAUGAAUGUUACCUCAGCAAAACAAGCAUGGGACAUCUUGAAAGCUGAAUUCGAGGGAAAUGAGAAAACGACAAAAAUAAGGCUUCAGAAUUUGAGACGUGAAUUCGAGAAUCUCAAGAUGAAAGAUGGAGAGGUAAUUAAGGAUUACUCUUCUCGAAUUAUAAAGUUAGUGAAUGAAUUAAAAUCAAAUGGUGAUAAUAUUACUGACCAAAGAGUUGUUGAAAAAAUACUGGUUAGUUUGUCCGAGAAAUUUGAUACAAUGGUGACUGUGAUAGAAGAAUCUAAGGAUCUCACGCAGUUAACUAUCUCGGAGUUGAUAGCAUCCUUACAAAUCCACGAGGAUAGGAUGUCAAAAAGAAAUGAAACAUCGGGUGAAGGAGCUUUUCAGUCAAAACAUAAAGCUUCAUCAUUCAAACAAAAUAAAAGAGGAGGAGCACCUAGAAAGUGUAUUCCUAGCAACUUCAAAGAAUUUGAGAGAAAAGCCAAAUUUUCUCCAUGUUCGAUUUGCAAGAAAACAAAUCAUGCUGAAAAGAAUUGCUGGUACAAAGGAAAAACUCAAUGCACUUAUUGUAAGAAAUUCAACCAUACCGAGGAUGAAUGUAGAGUCAAAAAUCAGCAAGCAAGUAGAUCAGAGACAAUGGAGGACGAGAAUAAAUUAUUUUAUGCAUGUCAAAAUUCAACAAAUCAGAAGGAUGCAUGGCUUGUUGAUAGUGGUUGUACUAAUCAUAUGACCAAACACUCUCACAUUUUCACCGAAAUAGACUCCUCUAUUAAAGUACCGGUAAGAAUGGGCAAUGGAGAAAUGGUGAAAUCUGAAGGUAAAGGUACCAUCACUAUUCAAACAAAGAAAGGAGCAAAACACAUUAAGGACGUUCUAUACGUUCCUAAUCUCGAUCAGAAUUUACUCAGUGUUCCUCAAAUGAUGCAGAAUGGAUAUUCAAUUCAUUUCGAAGGAGACACAUGUGAUAUUUAUGAUCCAGAAGGGAAUAACAUUGCUUGCAUAAAAAUGCUACAAAAAUGUUUCCCUAUUCAAUGGCAAUACAAGAUACAAGAAAAGUCAAUGCAGGCAAAAACAAAUGAGUUAACAUGGUUAUGGCACAAGCGCUUUGGACAUAGUAAUCUACAAAGCUUGAAAUUUCUUUCGAGCAAAAAUAUGGUCAAAGGUCUUCCUCUAAUUUCAGAAACUAUUGGUGUAUGCGAAGGAUGUCAGUUUGGGAAAAUGUCUAGAAAAUCUUUUCCUACUGGACAAGCAUGGAGAGCAUCAAAGAAAUUAGAAUUGGUACAUACAGAUGUCUGCGGACCUAUGAGGACUUCCUCACUUGAUAAUAGCAAGUAUUUUAUACUGUUCAUUGACGACUACUCUAGAAUGACUUGGGUAUACUUCCUGAAAGAAAAGUCGGAAGUAUUUAAUAUCUUUAAUAAAUUUAAGAGCCAUGUUGAGAAGGAGAGUGGUUGUAAAAUCAAGUGCCUAAGGAGCGAUAACGGGACAGAGUAUACCUCAUCAAAAUUUAAAGCAUUUUGUGAAGUGGAAGGUAUACAUCGACAAAUGACCGUUCCGUAUACACCUCAACAAAAUGGUGUAAGUGAGAGAAAAAAUAGAACCGUGAUGGAGAUGGCAAGAUCAAUGUUGAAAGAUAAAAAUUUGCCAAAUAAGUUUUGGGCAGAAGCCGUCUACACAGCCGUAUAUCUUCAGAAUCGUCUACCUACAAAGGCAGUUAAUAAAAGAACACCUCUUAAAGCAUGGUCUGGGCAUAGACCAUCUGUUAGUCACUUGAGAAUAUUUGGAUGUAUAUGUUACAUCUAUGUACCAAGUGAAAAGCGUCAUAAACUAGAAGGUAAAGCUGAAAAAGGAAUAUUUCUUGGCUACAGUUCACAGUCCAAGGGAUAUCGGGUUUACAACCCACAAAAUAAUAAAGUUCAAGUCAGCAGAGAUGUUGUAUUUGACGAAGAUGCUUCUUGGGAUUGGGAGCAUGAUGAUAUCAAGGAAAGAUAUGUUGUGACUCAACCAAUUAAUACAGAACCUACACAUGAAAUAGUUGGUCAACAUGAACAACAUUUUCAGGAGGAGUCUGAGAGUACUUCAGAUGAUCCAGACUCACCAAGGUAUGAAUAUGAUAGUUUUUCUGAUUCACCACCAACAAAAACUCGAAGACUAUCAGAUAUAUAUGAAAAUACAGACAGAAUACCUGAUCUAAAUCCCGAGCAAGUUCAGUUUUGUUACUUUGUCUCGGAUGAGCCAAAUAAUUAUGAGCGUGCAGCUCAGCACAAAGAAUGGAGAGAUGCAAUGAAGGAGGAAAUCUCCAUGAUUGAAAAGAACCAUACAUGGGUUUUAGUAGAUAAACCACCACACAAGGAUACUAUUGGCGUAAAGUGGGUAUACAAAACCAAGCAACAUCCAGAUGGUUCAAUACAAAAAUACAAAGCAAGGCUAGUAGUGAAAGGCUACUCACAACAGUUUGGAGUAGAUUAUAAUGAAACUUUUGCGCCUGUUUCCAGACAGGACACAAUUAGAGCAAUACUUGCUCUCGCAGCCCAGCGUAAAUGGAACAUUUACCAGCUUGAUGUGAAAUCGGCAUUUCUAAAUGGAUUCCUGGAAGAAGAAAUUUAUAUUGAGCAACCACCAGGAUUCAUAAUAAAAGGAAAGGAAGACAAAGUCUUAAGAUUAAAAAAGGCUUUGUACGGACUUAAACAAGCUCCACGGGCAUGGUAUAGUCGGAUUGAUAAAUAUUUUCAUCAACAAGGAUUUAAGAAAAGUCCAAAUGAAGCUACCUUAUACAUCAAAGUGGAAGGACCUGAUAUAUUAAUUCUUUCUCUUUAUGUUGAUGAUCUUAUUGUCACAGGAAGUAAUCUUUCAAUGAUUACAAAAUUUAAGCAACAAAUGAUGAAAAUGUUUGAGAUGACGGACCUGGGGCUGAUGAACUAUUUUCUAGGAAUGGAGAUUGAUCAAUCUAAAGAAGGAAUCUUCAUUUGUCAAGAAAGAUAUGCAAGAAACAUCUUAAAGAAGUUCAACAUGGAAUGGUGUAAACCAAUCUCAACUCCACUUGCUCAAAAUGAAAAAUUGAGUAAGGAUGAUGAUUCAGGGGAAGCUGACUCCACACGUUAUAGAAGUAUAAUAGGCAGUUUAUUGUACUUAACUGCUACUAGGCCAGAUUUGAUGUAUGCCACAAGUGUUCUCUCCAGAUUUAUGCAGAAACCAACACAAGCUCACAUGAAAGGAGUAAAGAGAGUCCUUCGCUAUGUGAAAGGAACCACAAAUUACGGGAUAUGGUUCAACUCUACUGAAAAUCCUGAACUGAUUGGAUAUUCAGACAGUGAUUGGGCUGGAUCAAUAGAUGAUAUGAAAAGCACUUCAGGUUAUGUGUUUUCACUCGGAAAUGGUGUCUUUUCUUGGUUAAGUCAAAAACAAAAUACAGUUGCACAAUCAACAGCUGAAGCAGAAUAUAUAGCAGCAUGUGCAGCAGUUAACCAAGCAAUUUGGCUUAGAAGGAUACUCUCAGAAUUGGGUGAGAAACAAAAAUCAGCAACUAAAAUAUACUGUGAUAGCACAUCAGCAAUUGCUAUUGCAAAGAAUCCGGUUCAACAUCGCAAGACCAAACAUAUUAAAAUAAAGUACCACUUUGUGAGAGAAGCUGAAAAUAGAGGAAAAAUCAGUCUAGUUCACUGCAACACUGAAGAGCAACUGGCUGAUAUUUUCACUAAAGCACUUCCAAAACCAAAGUUCGAAAUUCUCAGGAAUAAGCUCUGCAUACAAAGGAAGUUCUUCAAGGAGGAGUAUUGAAUAAUGAAGAACAUCCAUAUUUUUAGUAAAUUUAAUAUUAAAUAAAAAACACUAAUUUAUAUAUGGUUUAAAAAGAUUAUUUGUUAACUACCAUUAGAUAGUAAUGAUGUAUAAUUUAUUUUCUAAUUUUGUAUGUCAUCCUGUAAGUAUAAAUAGGUUCAUACAAAUUGUUGUAAUCAAGUUGAAGAGAUAUAUAUUUUUACAUAUAUUUUAUACUCUUUUAUCUUCUCAGCACUAUUAGCAAUUAACUCAAAUACCCAACAAAUAUGUUACCUCGGUCAGACAGCAUCAGAAUCUUAUAACCUUCCUUAUUGGAUAUAUAUUAACAUUGUAAUUAUCAUAACAAGAAUAAUAACAGCAGUGCAAGAAAAAGCCUUGAAAAUGUUUUGUAUCUGAACAGAGACAAACUAAUAAAGCACAACAUAUAUACAAUUCUAAUGACAGAAUGACGAAUAUAGAUCAUUCGCCGGAAAACAAAUUCACAUACCAUAAUAAAAAAACUGAAUAUAAUUCAAUAGAAGUAGAAAACUGCAGGAUAAUUUAAGAUGCACAAAUCAACACAAAUACAUAUUAGUCCAUAUUAAGUGUAAAUAUGAAACUGACCUAUGAUAAAUGCAUUUAUUUUAGAAGUGGGGUACCACAUCACAGAUUACUUUUUCAAAUUUAAAACCAAACACCCAUUAACAAGUAAAACUAAAAAAAUAAUCUAUGUUGAGCAUGAUUGGAUAGCCCAGUGGUGGGUUUAUCCUCUGUUGACCCGGGGCACCCGGGUUCGACUCUGGCUCACCCCGAGAAUUAUUAGAACAGAUACUAAGUUGUAAGGCAUAUAAGCCUGCAUUGUCAAAAAAAAAAAAAUAAUCUAUGCCCAAAAAAACAAAAACAAGAAAACAUCUAUCCAUGCAAUUAAACCCCUUUAACAAAACAUAAAAAUAUUAUUAGAAAAAUAUUUGUAAUAAGUCAAGAGCAUACGAUUUUAUCAGGUGAGUAAGAGAUUGAAUGGUCGCUAUUACCCGACAAUCUCUCUUUUUUUUUGCUAAAUGACAAACUCUCCUUUUGAGACCACCACUUCGGACAAAGACUCUGAUGAGCCAUGAUUCCCUAACUGGUGUUGUUCCAUUGGAGAGUAAAUUGGCAGCACGAUACACAAAUAUCUAUGAGCCUAUAACUCUUAUUAACAUGCUUGUGUAUAAGUUUAUAUAUAGACGCACUAUAACCUGGAGAUUGGAGGGGAGCUAUAUACCACUGUUCUGAUUGUUUUGAAUCUUACAUACAUUAGUACAGUCCCUAAAACUAAUCAUAUAGUUCUUAGUGACUUUUUAUCGAACACCUAAUACACAUUAUUCGAACACAAACAUAUAACACGAAAUCAAGUGCGAAAACAUACUUUUAAACACACAAAUCAGUAAUAAAUAGAUACAUCAACACAUACAUCAGCUAGAUUAACAAAUCAUUCAUCUAAAUCAAUCUACAAAUUACACAAUUUAGCAAGAUAAAUGAAAAACUUUCAAAUGGAUCAAUCUCGAACAUGUAUGCUUAGAUUAAUUUAGGUUUGAAAAUCAUUGCAAAUGGUAGAAGAAAUCGUUGAGAUGCGUGGAUUGGAUAUUGAGCUUGUAAGAAAUCGCCGGAGUUGAAGAUGGGGAUAUACAGCGUGAGUAUGAAUCAAAGAGGGAAGACGUU